UCCACUUCAAGUGAUUUAUUGAGUAAGUUGGAAACCUUUAAAAGAGGUUUGAAAAAUUGGGCUCGACAAAUUAGACUUAGUAGGGAAGGUAUCAAGGAAAACUUCUCACAGAAAUUAGAAGAAUUAAGUCAUGGAGAAAAAGAUGAUAAGACUUUGGCGGAGUUUAUUGAUACAAAUGUAUUGUUAAAUUUCGAGAUAGAGAAAGAUGAGAUGUAUUGGGAGCAAAGAGCUCGUGUUAAUUGGCUAAAAUUAGGUGAUAGAAAUACAUCUUUUUUCCAUAAGCAUGCGUCUCAAUGUAGAAGUAGAAACUUUAUUCGAUGUUUGCAAUAUGAGGAUGGGAGGGUUACAAACGAUGAGAGUAUUAUGGAGGAGUUAGCUCGUAAUUAUUUUCAAAAGCUUUUUUCGUCUAAUGGUGUGGGGAAUUCGGUUCAUUUAUUACUUGGCAUUAAGAGAUGUGUUACUAGUGAUGAUAAUUUGAAACUUACGUCAAUAUACACAAAGGAGGAAGUGUGGUUGGCACUAAAAGGGAUGGCGCCCACUAAGGCAUCUGUGGAAGAUGGCCUUCAGGUUGUUCUUCUAAAAAUGUUGGCACAUAAUUGGGGAGGAAGUUGCAGCUUUUUGUUUGAAUAUUCUCAACGAAGGUAUGGAUGUUGAUUCUUUGAAUGUUACUAAUAUUGUUUUAAUUCCAAAACUCCUUGGUCCCACAAAUAUAGGUAAUUUUAGGCCUAUCAAUUUAAGCAAUGUACUUUAUAAGGUGGUCACAAAGAUGAUAGUUAAUCAUCUUAAAGAAGUUCUUGAGGUAUGUAUUGAUAGUGCUCAGAGUGCUUUUGUUCCUAGUAGGCUAAUUUCUGACAAUGUGUUGUUAGUGUAUGAAAUUCUACAUACCUUCCAACGGAAAAGAAUGGGGAAAAAAAUUUAUGGUUGUUAAACUUUACAUAAGUAAGGCUUAUGAUAGGGUCGAAUGGCAAUUUCUUCGGGAUAUGAUGAUCCGUAUGGGUUUUGAUUUGGCAUGGAUUUCAACUGUUAUCAAGUGUGUUUCUUUUGUCUCUUAUUCUGUUGUUGUUAAUAGAAUCGUUGGAAUAUCUUUAAACCUACUAGGGGAAUCAGACAAUGUGGCCCUUCAAGCCCGUUUCUAUUCUUAAUCUACAAUGAGGGAUUAUCUGCUCUUAUGAGAUUGCCAAUUAGAGAUGGCCUAACAAAAGGCGCUAAGGCUAGUAGGAGUGGCCUUCAAAUCUCCCAUUUACUAUUCACUAAUUAUUGCAUAUUGUUUGGUGAGGAAAAUGUUAGAGGGGCUCAAAUGUUGAAAUCAAUACUAGGGAAGUAUGAAAAAAGUUCUGGUUAAUGUGUUAAUUUCGAAAAGUCUACAGUUUUUUACAGCUCCAAUAUCUUAGAAGUUAACAGACGACUAGUUUCUAGCAUUUUAAGGGUGAGAAGUUCAAAUAAUCCUAAAAGGUAUCUUGGGUUAUCCAAUAUGGUGGGUAGAAGCAAAAAAACUUUCUUUUCAAAAUAUUAAGGAUAAUUUUCUCAAACGAAUUGAGAGUUGGGGUGUUCAGUUUUUGUUUCAAUGAGGGAAAGAAGUCUUUACUAAAUAUGUUUUACUGGCUAUUCCGUCUCAUUCAAUGGCAUGUUUCUUACUCCCAAAAAUGCUAUGUGGUGAUUUGGAAAGAAUUAUGGCUAAUUUCUGGUGGUAAAAAAGUCAUGGUAAAAGGGGGAUUCACUGGUGUGGUUGGGAUCAACUAUGCGAGUUCAAAGAAAAUGGCGGAAUGGGUUUUCGAAGUCUUUUUAAUUUCAAUAUUGCCUUAUUAGCGAAAUAGGGGUGGUGUUUAAUCAAUUAUCCAAAUUCCCUUUUAACGCGUGUUUUAAAAGCCAAGUAUUAUACAUCUACAGAUUUUCUUAAUGCAAGAUUAGGGAGUCUACCUUCAUAUACCUUGAAAAGUAUAUGGGGGUGAAGGGUUGGAUUGGGCCAGAAUAUUUCCAUAAGGGAAGAUAUAUGGUUACCAAGUGUAACAACCCGUUUUCGGUAAAACUGGAAUAGUGGUUUUGGACCACAAAUCUGAUUCUAGAAAGGAAAUUCAUUUUAAUAUUAUUUUAUAAUCUACAGUAUGAUAAUAAUAUCGUAUGAAAUUUUCAUUAAGAAAUUUUAUUGAUUAUAUGUUUAAUUUGAUAAAGGACCAAAUUGAACAAAGUGUAAAAGUUGAAUUCUAAUAGCUAAAGGGAUUAAAUAGCUAUGAAAUUCAAAUUUUGAGGUCCUUAAAUGGUAAAUAGACCAUUUAAAAUGCUUAGUUGUUAAGGAUGAUUAUUCAUUCAUGGAAAAUAAAAUAAAGAAAAUGAUGAAACUAGAAAAUGAAAUAGUAAAAGAUAAUAAAUGAUAAAAAAAAUGAAAAUAUCAUCAAUUUUAUCAUCUUCUUCCCCAAAAAUACAUGGAAACCCUAGGAAAGAGAAAUCAAGCUUUCAUGGCUUAAUUGGGUAAGUAAUCUUGUCUCGUUUUUAAUAAUUUUUAUAUUUCCGAGAUUAAAAUAGCUUAAUCUAUCUAUUUUUGGGAUUAAUUUGUAAAGAUAUCAAAGUAUAGAAAUUUUUCCAUGGAUGUACAUGCUGAAAUUUUGAAAUUUAUGGUAGAAAAUGAAAGGUUGUUGAUAGAUAAACAACUUUUGUAAAGUGAAUUUUGAUGAAAUUAUGAUUUUAAGAUUAAAUUAUAAAGUUGUAAAAUUCAAGCAAAAAUUUUGAAUUUUAUGAAAUAUAUGGGCUGUAAAUUUUAUAUGUAAAAUUCGGCUAGUCUUGGAAUAAGGGUUAAAUUGCAUGAAUUUCAUUUUCCGAGCCUAGGGACGAAAUCAUCAUUAAUUAAAAAUUUAGGGGCAAAAUGACAAUUUUGCCUAAGAUGUGAAUUGGACUGAAUUGAGUGUGAAUUGUAUUAAAUUGAUGCUAAAUUUACUCGUAUAGAUCCGGAUAGACCAAAUUCAGAGUUAGAGCGAGGAAAAUAGAAAGUAUCGAAUUAGUAGAUUUUACGUAUACGAACAUUUAUUGAUGUAAGUUCGUGUAACUAAAUUGUGUUUAUUUUUAUGCUUGAAUUGAGUGUGGUAUGUGUUUAUAUGAAUUAUAUAAAUGUUAUAAAUGUAUGAAAUAAUCACAUGCCCAUUAAUGUUCAGAAAAUGAUAAUUUCUAUUUAAAUAAUGUAAUUCGAUGGAUACAUGAUUUCCCGUAUUGAUUGUGGUCCUGCAUAUGUAGUGGACAGAAUAUAGCUCAGGUGAGCAACCCUGAUAAAAGCCCUCUCGAGCAUCCUGCUAAAUAGUUCCAGCGAGCAUCCUAAUUUGUAGUGAUUUUGCAUGUGCUGCAUAUUACCGCAGCUCUUUGUGAGCAUCCUGUUACAUGAUUCAAUCGGUUGUGAUCCAGCAUAUAUUGCGGGCACAAAUGCAGCUUUACGUGUGUGUCCUGAUAUAGGCUCUUAUGAGCUUCCUGACAUGGCUUGCUUAAACUUUCUGUUAAGCUAUCCGGAGCUCCUGUUACAUGGCUCUUUGUGAGCAUUCCUGAUAGGCUCUUUGUGAGCUUCCUAAUAAAAAGUUCUUUGUGAACUUCUUGUUAUAAACUCUUAUGAGUUUCUUGGUAUAGCCCGGAUAAGCUUUCUGUUACAUGGCUCACAUAAGUAUCCUGAUAUAUGGCUCGAGAAUGUGCUUCCUGAUUAUAUGCCCUUAUGGGUACCCCUGAAUAUGAAUUGACGGUUUCUGAUUUGUAUACUUCGAGUGUACUAUAUUUCAAAUAAAUUCAACAGGCAAUAUCCUGACAUGAGAAAAUAUGAACACGAAAUGAAUUUUUACAUGUAUCUACCUGAAAUACAUGAAAAUGAUGAUACAUGAUAUAUGGAAGUAUGAGAUAGUGAUAUAUGAACAUGGAACUUGUUUGAUGAAUAUGUUCAAGUGUAUUUUCUCGGAUUUCUAUUGAUAUUUUAAUUGAUUUAAUGAGCAAAAUCCUGACAUGAAAUAAUCUAAACUUGAGACAAAAUAUUAUGAAAAUGUACUUGAAAUACAUGGGUAUGAAUUAUUUAUAUUAUUUGAAUUCAUGAUGUGGAAAGUAUAUGUAUAUGGGAAUUUGGUUGUUAUUGAGCCCAUACAUGAUUCUUAAUGUUUAUAUGAGAUAGUAUGACUUAGAAACGAACUAUUACCCGUAUGUACAUGAAGUACAUGGAAAUGACAUUACAUGAUAUAAUGAUACAGAAAUUGGUUGUUACAUGAAUGUGGAUCAUGCUUGAUGACUUUGUUCAUCCAUGAUUAAGGACAAUUUUAUGUGAUUACUUGGCUAACAUGAUGAGGAUAUGUAUUUAGGGCUUGUGACAAAAUUGGUUUAUAAUGCCUUGCAUGUUUUUUUUUAACAUAAAUAUAUGGUAAGUUAUUUACCAUGUUAUACAAACUUAUUCAUGCUUACUGUGUUUUAUUUCCCUUGUUCUAUAGUAAUUUAGAAGCUCGUUGGAUUGAAAGCAUCAGUGGAGAUCACUCAUACUAUUCAUCGGUUCAUCUUGGUAUAUACGGUAAAUUAAUUAUGGUUAUAAUGACAUGUAUAGGUUAAUUAACCAAUGUUGGCAUGUAAUGUUUGGGUUAGAACUAGCCAUUAGAAUGGCUUGUGAUGAACAUGUUUUGAUAUGUAUAAAUGAGGCUAUAACAUGUUUGGUGUGUGCUUAAAUGAUUGAUUGAUAGAAAUAAUGUUGGCAUAUUGAAAAUUAAUUCUAACAUAUUUGAUAAAAUAUGCAUAUAGGUGAAUUCGAUAAGUUAAGUAAGUUUGUAUAUUUAAUUACAAGAUGGUAAAGCGUCAUUUGAGGUGUUUAAGAGCACAUUAGUUGUAUGUGAUGAUAUGUCAUGCAUGAGACUUGGUUUUGACUUGAGUUAAUUGUUUUAAAAUGACUUGUAAAUAUGUUUAAGUAUUGGUGUAAGAGGAAGACCAAUUGGGUGAGAAAUGUGGCUUGGAGAAUAGCUUAUUUUUGUCCACACGGGCAUGUGUCUCAGCUAGAGGUGAUCAUGGGCCGGGCCGGGCUUGUUCGGGCUGGGCCCAGACAAAAUUUUAGGCCCGUCUACUAGGCCCGAGCCCGGCCCAGCCCGAAAUAUGGGCCUAAAAAUUUGUCCAAGUCCAACCCGAAAUAAAAUUGCUAAGCCCGAGCCCGGCACGGCCUGACCCAUAUUAAAUUUUUUUUGCUUAUUUCAUUAAAUAAAAAAUUUUAAAAAUAUAAUAAAUCAAAUAUAUUUAAAAACAUAAAAACAAAUAUUAAAACAAAUAAAAAUGAUACUAAAACAAUUUUUAAAACAAUACACAAAUUGACAAUAUAAUAAAAAAUGGUUAUAUUAAAAAUUUAAAAUGAUUAAAAAUAAAAUAAAAAAUAUAUUAAUAUAUAAUUCAGGCCGGGCCAAAAAACUCUUACCCGAGGCCCGGCCCAUUUUUUAAACGGGCCUCUUUUUUUGCCCAAGCCUAUUUUUCGGGCCUAUAUUUUUACCCAAACCCUCCCAUUUUUGGGCGGGCCUUCGGGCCGGGUCGGGCCGCCCAGCCCAUGAUCAGCUCUAGUCUCAACUGUGUGUGACACACGGCCUAGCAAAUUAGCAUGUGAUCUAGCCGUGUAUCCUCUACAUCUUUAAAAUGUCAAAACGGAAUGCUCAAAAUUGAUCACACGACCUAGCACACAGGCAUCUGGAUUGGACGUGUGAACCUUGUACGCACACACGACCUAGCACACAGGCGUGUGGGUUGGCCGUGCGACCUAAGUCAGAGAGUUACAUGUCUGAGAAUAUAAAUGGAUUAAAUUCUUAUGAUCAAAAUAAAUAAACUAAAUUUCAAAUGUAAAGAGAAUAUAAAGACCCGAAGCAUAAUUAAACCUUUUCUCUCUCUCUAUAUAUAUAUAAGGGAUCUAUUUACAUUGAUGCAAAACUUAAGUGAUUUUAUACCCUUUCGUAACUUUUUAUACUUUUAAUAUUUUAACAAUCCAACAAUUAAAUUUAUCAAGAUAUUUGUACUUAUCAUGCAUGUAAUUUUUUAAAUUGAUUUACUAUUUCUAUCACACUGAUCUAAAAUGUUGUCUAUAUUAAUAGAUACGUCUGAAUAAUUGCCAUAGCAUCACUAUUGACUUAAGUACGGUUGCAGCUUGUCUCAAUUGAUAUUAGGAAUUAUCAUUUUCGUAACUUUUUAUAACUCCAAUUCUAUCAACAAAUCAAUUUAAUAUUAGUAAUUUUAUAUCAUUUCAGGUCUAACAUUCAUAUACAAUUAGAAAUAUAAUCAAGUUCAUAUUAAAUGAACUUACAUGAUGAAAAAACGAAGUUGAAAUCGAGACAAUGAUCAAUCUGUUCCUUUAACCUUUCCGCAAUUAGAGCCUAAUUGAUUUAUUUCUUGAUCUAAUAUGAAACCAAAGCUUGACCGAAGUUUUUCAAGCCCUAACAAUGGUUAUUCGGUUCAAGAAAAAUAUGAUAUUUACCUUUAAUUCAUUAAAUUUAACUUACCAUUUAACUAUUUACAAUUUUAACCUUUUAAUUUUCACUUAUAAAAUUACUCUCUUAUGUACAUAAAUGUCCAUAACAUAUAACUAUGGUAUAAUUACUAUAACAGCCCAUUUUUCAGUGAAAUCGGAACAGUGGUUUCGGGACCACAAAUUCGAUCCAAAAAUAAAGUUUAUUUUUAUUUUAUUAUUAUUAUAUGGUCUGUGAUAGAUUUGUUGUGUGAAAAAUUUGAUAUGAAAUUUUUAUCGAUUAAGUGUUUAAUUACGAGAAGGACUAAAUCGCAUAAAAUGCAAAAUUCUAGUAGUUAUAAGGAUUAAAUAGCUAUGGAAUUCAAAACUAGAGGUCCUUAUAUGGUAAUUAGACCAUAAAAGAAAACUAUGUAGAUUUUUGGUGACUCAUCCAUGGAAAAAUUAAAAAAAGGUAAGGACUAAAUUGGAAUUAAAAUAAUUAAUUAAUUAAAAAGAUGAUAAAAGAUAUCAUCUUAUUAUUUUGUCAUCUUCAACCUCAAAAAUUAUAUGGAAACCCUAGGAGAGAAAGCAAAAACUUUCAAGGCUUAAUUGCUUUGUCCUAUUUUUAGUAAUUUUGAUAUUUUUAAAACCGUGAUAACUUAAUCUAUCUAUUUGGGGCAUUAAUUUAAAAAGUUAUUAUGAAAUUUGGGUCAUGGAUGAAUAUGCUGAAAAUUAGAAAUUUAUGGUAGAAAAUGAAAGGUUGUUGAUAGAUAAACAACUUUUACAAAGUGAUUUUUGAUGGAAACAUGAUUUAGGGACUAAAAUGUAAAGUUGUGAAAUUUGAUGAAGAAUUCUGAAUACAUGUGCUGUAAAUUUUGUAAUGGGAUUUUGGUUAGGCUUGGAAUAUGGAGUAAAUUGCACAAGUUUCAUUUUCCGAGCCUAGGGACGAAAUUAGAAUUUAGGGAAAAGUUAUGGGUAAAAUGGUAAUUUUUUCUAGGACGUAGAUUGAGUCCAAAUGAAUACAAAAUAUGAGAAAUUGAUGAUUAAAGAUAUUUAUAUAGAUCCAGACAACAUAAAUUCGAGGUUAGAUCGAGGAAAAGAAAAGGUUUUGGAUUCGUAGAUUACUUAUGCGAACAAGUAUCGAGGUAAGUUCGUGUAACUUAAUCGAACAUGUAAAUAUGUUUAAUUGAAUUUUGUGUUUGUAUGGAAUGUGACUUAUAUUGAUGUACAUUAUUUAAAUGCUAUAAUGAAAAUUUUAAUACAUGCUUGAAAUGGUGAAAAAGGGUUAAGUCUCGAUUGAAUACUGAAUUCCGAUGAUUAUAUGCGCUUUCUCGAAAUGAAUAAGGUCCUGCAUUUGUUACGGACGGGAUUUAGCUCAGACGAGUAAUCCUAUUGAUCUUGUUAUAGAAAGGAUUUAGCCCAGAUGGGCAAUUUGAUAUAAUAUCUCUCGAGUAUACGUUACGAUUAGGGUUUAGCUUGGACUGGUAAUCCUGUUAUACGAAAUGUGGCUCGAAAGCGUGUUCCUUGGUUAAGUGCCCUAAUGGGUACUCUUAAAUAAAAAUUGAUGGGUUAUUGAAUUGUACGCCUCGAGUGUACUACAUGAGUAUCCAUCGGAAUAUCAACGAUUCAACAGACAAAACUCUUGACAUGAUGAGAGAAUUAUGAUAUGAAAUGAUAAUGUCUUGAAAGAAUAUUGCAUGAUGAGCUCAUCUAUGUUUACUUGAUUGAUAUGAAGAUUUUGUGACUAGCAUGUUUGAUUGAAUGUAUGUGUUUAGACAAUUAUUCCAAAUGGAUGGAAACAAGAUAUUGUAUGCUUAAAUUUAAUAAACACAGGAUUGGUAAGUUUAGUUUCCGUUAUACGAACUUACUAAGCAUGUAAUGCUUACUCCAUUUUAUUUUUCCACUAUUUUAUAGUGCUCUGAAGCUCUCAAAGGUUGGAGAUCAUUGGAGCAUCAUCGCACUAUCCACUAGCUAUUUUGGCUAUAUAUAGUAAAAUCAUUUUGGUAUAAUGGCAUGUUUAGGCGAUUUUGGCCAUAGAUGGCUUAUAUAUGUGGUUUGUAAUCUAGCCAUUGGAAUGGCUAGUAAUGGUUGUUUUUUAUAUACUUGUAAUGUCAUACUAUGGUAGCUAUAUGCAUGUUAAUGGUUGUUCAAAUUAUGCCUAACAUUAAUAUAUGGAAUAUACCAAGGUAAGAUUAUAAACAUGUAUGCAAACAAUGAUAUGCCAUGUUGGAUGAUGAAAAUUGCUCAAUUUGAAUGCUUGAAAUGGUUGGAAUGUGUUUGGUAUGUUUUAGUGCAGGAAAAUGGUAAAUUUGGGUGACAAAUAAGGCUAGGAAAUGGCUUUAUUUUGUCCAUAUGGGCAGACACACGGGCGUGUGUCUAGACUGUGUGUGACACACAGCCAGGUACGUGGGCGUGUAGUUAGGCCAUGUGUUCCAUGCAUCUUAAUUUUGAGAAACAGAAUGUUCACAAUUGAGCACACAGGCAGAGACACGGGCGUGUGUCUUAGCCGUGCGUUCUACACGGCCUAGAACAUGGGCGUGUGUCUUGGCCGUGUGAAACCUACACCUAAUUUCGAAUUGAAUUAAUUAACCACACGGCCUAGAACACAGGUGUGUGGCAUGGCCGUGUGCACAAGUCAGAGAGUUACACGGGGUCGAACACGGCCUGCAGCACGGAUGUGUCCUAGGGUCACACGGGCAUGUCCCUUAGACCACACAGGCGUGUGACCCCUGCACCUAGGAAAUUUUUGAAAUUUCGUAAAAAUUUCUUAGAGGUCCUAAUUAAGUCCCGACUUGAUUCUAACGUUCAUAUUGGGCCUUGAGGGUCCAAUUAAGGGACAUUUUAUUUGAUCUCGGUUAAUGAAUAAUAAUUUACAUGAAUUAUUUGUAAAAUGUUUUGAAAGUUCUGGUAAUGCCCCGAAACCCUGUUUCGACGACGGAUAUGAGUUAGAGGUGUUACAAUUACCAUCCAAGGAAGGUUUAAUUGCACAAUUGGUUAUUCAAUUAUAUUAAAUUUCAACUAAACAAGCUUAAUUUCAAUUCAACCCUAAACUAAUUAGAACUAAAUGAGCAAAUAGCGAAAAAGUUAGUAGAUUUAAUCACGUCACCACCGCUUGGACUUUUUUACCAUGGUUUAAUCACCAUUUUGGUCCCUUCAGUAUUUUAAAUCUAUAGUAAUUAACUUUUACCUCUUUUACAAUUUAAUCUUUUUACCUUAAUUAAGCAAUUACUCGUAAAAAUUACUGGACCAAACUUCAAUUCACCUAUAAUAUGACUCUGUAAGUAUUUAAUAAAAUAUUUACAACUUUAAAAUUAUAAACACGAUGUCUCAAUACCUCAUUUUCAACAACCAUUUAACUUUUGGACUAAACCGUUUAUACUAGGUUUAGUACCAAUAAAGGCCCAUUUUCAAAAUUAUUUAAAAAAAAGGGUCGUUUCUAAAAAUAAUAACAGGUAUAGAUCGAAAACCCAAAAACACACUGACGUGGACACAUUUUCAGGGGAUAACCCAGAAAAACGCUUUCACGUCAGCUCUUUUUUCUUUGUGUCAGGCAAAAGCACGCUGACGUAUACGCACUUUUGGCUGUGUAAUCCUUGCUGGAUUUGCUUUUGUUGAACUUCUCGAUGUUAUUCAGGAUCUGGGUUUGUCUAUUGUUCAUUGUUGAAUCACCAUUGGAAGCACUAUAACACCUUAGAUCUUGCAUGGCAUUGAUGCCAUUCUUACUCUCUAUUUGUUGAGCCUUUUCUUCCUUACUUGGAUCUAAAAUUUUCCAUAGAAUUGUUGUAAGAGAAGAAAAAAAUAAUCGAAAUUUCAUUUUCCGAGCCUAGGGACGAAAUCAUAAUUAAAUAAAAGUAUAGGGGAAAAAUAGUAAUUUUACCUAAGAUGUGAGUUGGAUUGAAUUGAAUAUGAGUUGUAUUAAAUUAAGUUAAAUUUACUCGUAUAGAUCCAGAUAGACCAAAUAUGAAAUUGGAUCGAGGAAACGAAAAGACAUCGGAUUAGUAAAUUACAAUUCACGAACACUUGUCAAGGUAAGUUCGUGUAACUAAAUUGUGUAUAUUUAUAUGUUUGAAUUUAAUGUUGUAUAUGUGUAUUGUAUAAUUUACAUGUAUGAAAAUCGGUCACAUAUCCGAUAAUGCUCGAUAAGUAAUAAGUCCCGAUUGAAUAAAUGAAAUUCGAUGGAUACAGGGUUCCCAAAUUGGUUGUGGUCCUGCAUAUGUUGCGGACACACCAUAGCUCGAAAGAGAGUUCCGUUAUUAGCCAUCUCAAGCUUCCUGCUAUAUGGUUCUUGCGAGCUUCCCAUUAAUAGCUCUUCGGAGCAUCCCGAUUGGUUGUGAUUCUGCAUGUGUUGUAGACACACCACAGCUCUUAUGAGCGUCCUAAUAUAUGGCUCUUAGUAAGCUUCUCGAUUAAAGUCUCUUUAUGCACUUCCUGAUUAAUGGCUCUCCGGAGCUUCCCGAUAUGGCUUGCUUGAACUUCCCAAUAUAUGGCUAUCUGGAGCUUCCUAAUUAAUGACUUUUCGGAGCUAUCCUUUAUUGGAUCGCAUGAGUUUCUAGAUUAUGGCUCGCAUGAGCUUCCCAUUAUGCAACCCGGAUAAGCUUCCCGUUAUACAACCUGGAUAAGCUUCCCGUUACAUGGCUCAUAUAAGCUUACUGUUAUAUAGCUCGAGAAAGGGCUUCCCGAAUAUGUGCUCUAAUGAGUACCCUCGAAUAUGAAUUGACGGAUCUCUGAUUCAUACACUUCAUGUGUACUACCCUUAUAUCCAUCGAUAUUUUAAAUGAUUCAAUGGGUAAAGUUCCGAUAUGAGAUGAUAUGAAAUCAAGAUGAAUUACUAUAAGAAAUACUUGAAAUACAAAGAUAUGAUUACAUGUAUGUGGAAAUUGAAUAUUGAUGAGCUCAUUCAUGUUUCUUAGUAUUUAUGUGAAUUACAUGAUUACAUGAUUAACAUGUUUGAUAGAUAUGUCUAGGCAAUUGGCCAAAUUGAUUUACUAUUUCUAUCACACUGAUCUAAAAUGUUGUCUAUAUUAAUAGAUAUUUAAUUGUCGAAAGUUUUUUGAAAAAUUUUGUGAUUUAUGCUAAACUAUACAUAUACAUAAUCAAAAUCUUUUUUUUUUCAUUCCCGAAGGCUAUUCAUUUGGUUAAGGCGAUGAAGUCAAACAGAUCUUAAACAACUCGAUUGGAUUAUAAUUUUAUAAUUUGAGUUUGUUCAAGCUAAUUGAAUUUACUCCGCCAAACUUGUUUGCAUGUUAAUAACCAAAACUCGUUUGCACUCUGUGAAAUUAUAAGAAGAAAACUCUGAAGAGAAACAUCUUAUUCAAAGACUUGCUUAAUACAUGCAGGCUGCACGUAUUUAUACAUGCAUGAGAGCUGAAGCUGACAGAAGUUACAGCAACCUUUCUAACUGCUAUCAUCUUUAACUGCUAACAGACUAACUGCUAACAGACUUACAACGGUACAACGGUUUUGACUAUAUUACAACUGCUUUGACUAUAUUAACUCUAACAUUCCCUUAACAUUUCUUUGGACUUUUGAUCACUAAUUUCACUUACUGACAGCACUUGAAGAGCACGUCGAAAAGAGACAAACAGUUUAGGAGGUAUUGGUUUAGUGAGACCAUCAGCAAUCUGUUGAACAGAUGGAACAAAAUUCACUUGCAACAUUCCAGCAUGAACUUUUUCUCGAACAAAAUGAUGAUCUAUUUCCACAUGCUUCAUCCUAGCAUGAUGUGUGGGAUUUUCAGUAAUUGAAACUGCAGAAGAAUUAUCACACCAUACAAUUGGCAGCUUAGUCAAAGAAAUCCGGACUUCAUCCAGUAGUUGUUUGAUCCAUAGUAACUCAGAUACGCAAUUGGCAAGGCUACGGUAUUCUGCUUCAGCAGAUGACCUGGAUACCACAGGCUGUUUCUUUGAGCACCAGGUAAUUGGAUUUGAUCCUAAGUACACCACAUACCCCGACGUAGACCGUCGAUCUUCAAUUGAGGAGGCCCAGUCAGCAUCUGAAUAACACACCAGUUCCAACGAUCCUGCUUCAAAAUACAAACCAUGAUCCAUAGUGCCAGCCAAGUACCGUAAGACCCGUUUUACAGCUUUCCAAUGAGUGACAGUAGGAGAGCUCAUGUACUGACUCAGUUUGUUCACACAAAAUGAUAAAUCUGGUCUAGUAAUGCAGACAUAUUGAAGCAUGCCCACUGUACUACGAUACAAAUGCACAUCUGUAAAGGGAGAGCUUCCAUCUGAAACCGCCAACUUAGGAGUGACGACCAUGGGCGUUGGUGUAGAGGCUGCACCAAGCAUGCCAGUCUUGAGUAGCAGUUCAGUAAUGUACUUCUUCUGACUGAGUAACAUUCCUUGGGACGUAUGUUGAACAUCAAUUCCCAAAAAAUAACUAAGAUUUCCCAUAUCCUUAAGGGCAAACUUAUCAUGCAAACGACGAACCAUUGCAUCUAUAUCUUGACUACUGCUACCAGUGAUCACGAUGUCAUCUACAUACACCAUUAGUAGCAUGUAAUUCUCAGUAGACACCCGAAUGAACAAAGAUGAAUCUGCUUUUGAUGCAUGGAAGCCAAGCUCAGUGACAAGGUACUGUUUGAGCGUUUGAAACCAUGCUCGAGGAGCUUGACGCAAGCCAUAAAGUGCCUUAUUUAACUUACACACAAGUAAUUGACCAGAGGCAUUCAGGACUUCAAAACCAGGUGGUUGCUCCAUAUAUAUUUCCUCAGUAAGCUCGCCAUUGAGAAAAGCAUUGUUGAUAUCAACUUGACGCACAACCCACCCCUGCAUAACUGCUAAUGCAAGAAUGGUCCGAAUGGUAGAAGCUCGAACAACAGGACUAAAGGUAUCAUGAAAAUCAAACCCUGCAUGCUGAGAAAAACCUUUUGCAACUAAUCUUGCUUUGUACCUGUCAAUAGAACCAUCAGCCUUCUUUUUAAUUUUAAACAACCACUUACACCCGAUUGCCCGUCUAUUCUCAGGAAGGGAGCAGAGAGUCCAUGUAUUAUUACGACUCAAGGCUUGUAACUCACUGUGUACUGCCGUUUGCCAGCAUUCAAACUUCAUUGCAGCAUGUAUGUCAGAAGGAACAUCACUUGAAGAAGUAGACACCUCGCUCAGAUAAGCUUUUGGUUUGAAAAUGCCAACUUUACUCCUUGUGAUCAUGGAAUGAGUAUUUGUUGGGACAGAAUGAGUGGUUUGUAUUGGAAUAGGUGGUGAGGCUGAAGGUGAUAUGGAUGGAGUGGACGGUAAUUGGACUAACGUGGAAGAAGAAGGUUGUGUUGGUAUAUGUGAUAAAGCCGUAGGUAAUAUGGGUGAGGUGGAUGGUGAGUGAGCUAAUGUUGAAUAAGUGGGCUGUGAAAUAGGCAUUGUAGUUGUUGGAGUAGAUGAGACAGGUGUUGAAGAAAUAUUAGUAGAAAUGAUAUUAGGUGAGGUGUUAUGAUGAGCUAUAGGACUAGGCUUUAUGACAAACAAUUUUGAAUUUAUUUGCGAAGUGUUAGAUAUGGACGGCUUGACUAUUGAGGUAUGAGUUUUAUAGGGAAAAAUAGCUUCAUUAAAUGUGACAUGACGGCUAAUGUAAAUUUUGCCUGUAGGGUCUCUACAUUUGUAACCUUUGUGCAAGGGAGAAUAGCCAAGAAAAACACAGGGAGUGGAUCGAAAUUGUAAUUUUGUUUUGUUGAAAGGUCUCAGAUUAGGAAAGCAUAGACAACCAAACGUUCGAAGGAAAGAAUAAUUUGGCUUUGUUUUAAAAAGUUUUUCAUAUGGGGAUAUAUCACCUAAGGGUUGAGAGGGUAAUCUAUUAAUCAAGAAUAUUGCACUGCAAAAUGCUUCAUUCCAGAAUAACAAGGGCAUAGUGGCAUGAGCUAGCAUAGACAGACCGAUUUCAACUACCUGGCGAUGUUUCCGUUUGACAAGCCCAUUUUGAGCUGAUGUGUAUGGACAUGUGAGCCUCUGUAGAAUCCCAUGUUGACUCAAAUAGUUCUUCAAAACCUGAAACUCCCCUCCCCUAUCAGUUUGUAGAACUUUGAGCUUAGUACCAAGCAUCCUCUCAGCUUGAAGGUGAAACUGUGGAAAUACAGUAGCAAUAUCAGACUUAUUCUUCAAAAAAUAGAGCCAUGUGUAGCGUGAAUAAGCAUCAGUGAAUGCAACAUAGUAGCGAAAACCGUUGGAUACAACAGGAGCGGGUCCCCAGACAUCAGCCACUACUAAUUGCAAAGGUGAGGAAUACUCAGUGCAUGACUUUGAAAACGGAAGCUUGCGUUCUUUACCCAAGUGACAGGCAACACAGUCAACAAAUUUAUUACUGUCUAUAAACUGUAUAUUACACUGAAGAAGAGCUUUUGUAAGUGUUGCUUUACAUGGAUGGCCUAAUCUAGCAUGCCAAACACUAAUAGGAAGCUUUGUGCUUGUUGUAAGACAUUGAGCAGCAUGAGACAGAGUUGUAGGUGCAGGAGACUUGUUGAGUUGAAGCUUAUAUAACCCAUGAUGCACCAACCCUCGAAGAAGCACUUCUCUGGUCCUUAAAUCACACACCCGGCACUGAGUAGGCAAGAACUCAAACAUUACCUGAUUAUCUUUAGCAAACUUUGACACAGAUAAUAGAUUUUUAGUAAUUCCAGGAACAAGCAGUAAAGAUCGCAUGUACAAUGGUCGAGAUCUCGUGAUUAAUGAGGACUGCCCAGUAGAUAAAACAGGUAAUGCAGAACCAUUACCAACAAAAACCUUACCUGGUCCGUUACAUGACCCACCGUCACCAACCAAAGUAGCUGAAUUGGUGAGGUGGUGUGUUGCACCAGAGUCUGGAUACCAUGCAUUGUCAGCUAUUGUUUCAGGAGUUGCAACAUAAGCUUGAGGUGGUGUGACACCAGCAGAUGGCAUACUGACUUGUUGGGGCAUACUAACCUGUUGUGGAGAGUUACCAACAAACGGGUUAGGCCAGACAGAUGAAGGAGGAGGAAAACACCAACCUGGAGAACCCCACGGAGGACUUUGCUGAGGAUAAGAAAACCAAGGUGUAGACGGACUCCAAGGUGCGGAUGAACUAGAACCAGUCAUGCACAUAUUUGCUUGUGGAGGGGGUCUAUAGUUGCUACUCUUGUAUGAUGAGUCAAAACGAUGGUAGCAGCAGUCAACAAGAUGACCAGCCUUCCCACAAAGCUGACAUUGAAUUCUUGAGCUAGACGAACGCCCUCGCCCACGUCCUCGAACUGAAGAUGAUGGCUGAUAAGCAGGUAGUGAACCAGGAUCAUCAGAAGACUCAUUCAACACCAAGUUUGCCGAGCUGGAUACUUCAGUACUUACGACCUGCUGACGAGCCUCAGUAUCAAUAAGCAUAGAGGUUACUCCUUGUACCGUGUAGGGAAUCUGACUCGCCGUAAUAAUUGUGAUAAUCGAUUCAUAAUCUGGAGGUAGGCCAUUAAGGAUUGCAGUAAUGUGUUCAUGCUCUCCAAUGAUUUCUCCACAACUAGCAAGAUUGUCACAACAACCCUUAACCUUCAUCAAGAACUCCUUCAUGCCAAGGUCACCUUUGCGUUGAGAGUGUAACGCUCGACGAUAUGCCAUCAGUUUAGAGGUUGUUUUACUACCAAACAAAGCAACAACCGCAUUCCAAAUCUUGGCGCUAGUAUCCAUGCCAAUGAGAUGAGGAAGCACCGUCUGACUAAUAGAAGAGAGUAACCACGAAGCAAGGGCACUAUCCUGCUGUUCAAACAAUGCAAAAUCUGGAUUUUCAUACGAACCACCAUUAUCAUCGACAAGUAACGAGGGUGGCGGAGUUUCUUGAGAAUCCAAGAAGCGCUGUAAUUUAUGCGCUUUCACAGCCAAGAGAACUUGCUGGCGCCAGAGUAGAUACGUAUUAUCAUCAAGAAGAACACUAAUACGCUUUGUUGAAAAGAAACGACUGUCAAGAACUCCAUCAGAAGCACUGGAUGUCAUCUUGCCCAAUACAAAACUGCACAGUGAAAGAGAAAAAAAAAAACCAGGAAAUACUUACAUCUGAUACCAUGUGAAAUUAUAAGAAGAAAACUCUGAAGAGAAACAUCUUAUUCAAAGACUUGCUUAAUACAUGCAGGCUGCACGUAUUUAUACAUGCAUGAGAGCUGAAGCUGACAGACGUUACAGCAACCUUUCUAACUGCUAUCAUCUUUAACUGCUAACAGACUAACUGCUAACAGACUUACAACGGUACAACGGUUUUGACUAUAUUACAACUGCUUUGACUAUAUUAACUCUAACUCCAUUAUUGAGAAAAAUCAAACUAAUUGAAUGUACUCCAUAAAACUUCUUUGCAUGGUAAUAAUAUUUAUUAAACUCAAUUAUUUAUUCUUAAAUUUAAAUUAAGAUUUUACAUCAUUAUAUUAUUUUAAAAUUAUGAUUUAAUAUGCAAUUGUAUAAAUAAACUUUGAUUUUAUAUAAUUUUAUACAUAAAAUUUUAAUUUAAUUUAAUUUUUACAAAUCAUUAACACAAUUAUUAAUAUAUCAUCAUUUUAUAUUUAUAUAUUGCAUAUAUAAAUAAUUAUAUUUAUUCAAUAUAAAAAUAUUUCAAGCAUAUAUUUAAACCACAAUUAAAAUUUCAUAUAUAUAAAUAUACCAAAUUAAAAUUUAUAUAUACAAAUUACAUAUUAAAUUAAAAUUCAUAUAUAAUUUUAAAAUUUAUCCCUUAUCCCUUUUUUAACCAGACCAGAUUUGCGGUUAUGAAUUGUGUUGACUCCAUAUUAACUAAUACCAAGAAUAUCAAAGAGGUGAGAAAUCCAAUGAAUGAAAUACUAAAAAUAAAGCUAAGAAAAAAAAUGUUGGCUACCAAAAAUAUUCAUAAACUCUCAAAUUGCAAAAUAAGAUUGAUAAACCUAAAAGUAGCCUCUUAAAUUGAAAAAAAAAAGAAGAAUGAAACAAGAGCUAAUUACAGCAAGCUUUGAAAGCUUACAAGCUAAUAUCAUAUAUAUAUUAUGGAUUCAAAGAACAAAAGAAAGAUUCUACACAAUGCAUUGACUGCUAGUUUUGAUACGCAGCAAAGAGACUCCGGAUCUAUGCACUUUGUGCGGGAACUUGAUCCAUUUUACCAAAACUUUUGGCAUUCUUUGGCCUCCACUGUGUCCUCCCUCUCACAAUCUCAGACCCCUCUUCAAGUUGGAGCAAGUGCUGGCACUCAAUUUCCCCCAUAUUCCCGAGGUUGCCCACACCAGACACCGCAGUUAGCGACUGCAGCACGCUGUCCCUCCCACAUUCCCUCCUAUACUCCAGUGUCAUGGAACAAAGCUCAUGACUCUCCACAAUUCCCAAUGGUGUACUCUGCAAUCACAAUGCAUGCAACAUAAAACAGAACUCAAAAUCGCAUAUCAGCUUCCUAGACCAUUAAACCAUAAGCAGAUAAGAUCACAGGUAAGAUUAAUGAAUUAAGGUAUCUGAAAUAACCUGGUUAUUUAUUUUAUUCAAAUGUUUAUCAUGGGCGAAGAAACAGAACGAAAUAUGUACAAUCAUCAAGUGUUACUAGAGUGAACCUUACCUCAAGGAUCCAACCAACGUACUUCACAUUGUUGACAUGCUGAUUCACAUCCAGGUCGUUCCAUCGAGGCUGCAAAUUAAAAAUUAAGAAAUGCAACAAUUGAAUAGAUAGGAAGUUUACAAAUGGACACAGCUACAACUAUACUGAAGAAAGAGAUGGGGCAACCAGUGGUUACAGUUAAACCCUUGCGCACAUAUUGGGCUGUGCUGUCGUCAAGUUUCACUAAUUUCCGGUCAUCCUCAGCCACCACUGGAUCUGAAUUCAUAAAAUGAGGUUCUAUUUCUCCUCGGACCUCUUCUGGAAUUUUAGAUAACCUUCUGGUCAGUUUAUUCAUCAUCACCCACACACUGUAGGUUGGCAAAAUCAAAAAUCAAACAGAAAACCAGGAUAAAUCUCUCCCGAAACACCAUUCAAUAAAGUACAAGCACACAUAACAUAACAAGAACAGUAACUUUGUUUCCUGGACAACCAAAAUAUUGACUCAUUUAUCUAUUCGAAACAUUUUAAAUACUUGUGUCAUAAACCAAAAGCAUUGGUCAUAGACUGAAGUCUCUAUUUCAGAUUUUUUCUUUCUUUUAUGAUUUUUAAUUUUUCUGAUUAAAGGAAAAAAAAAUAAGAAUAAUGAAUAAAGUGAAAAUAAAGUAAAUAAGAAAAAGAAACAAAAUAAUGAAUAUAAAAAUGGAAUGGAUAUGGCCCAAAUCAAGUCACUGCCCAAAACCAACAAUUGGGCCUAAAAUCAAAUUCAAAGUCCAAAAAGUUAAAAUAAGGCUCAUUAUCAAAUUCAAAAUUCAAGGGCUAGGGUCGAUUUAAAAUAUAUUAUACACAAAUUUGAAUCCUAGCCUUAAUCAGUAUUUUAUCUAUAUUAAGAUAUCUAAAAUGAAAUUAAUUUAACACUCAAAACACCUUGAAAGACCCACAGCUUGGAAACAAAUAUUUUUUCUUGGGAUUUUGGGCUAUUCCAAAUUUUCUUAUAAGAACAAAAUCAUGGCAGAACAUCAUACCAUGAGAUAGUUCAACUGAAUGAGAUCCUUUCAUACUGGUGUCUGAAGAUCAUCUCAUCAUUUGAAUAAAGAUAAGCAAAAAAUAACAACCAUAACCACAAGAAGCGACUUCAUAAACAAUGCCCUACCUUGAGGCUCUAGUUAAAAUUUCACCAGUUUUACUAUUGCUGACAAGCCAAUCCCUUCGCAUGCCAUUCUUUCCUGAUGCACUGACCCAAGUGUCUACUUGAACAACAUCACCCCUAGAAGACAUAUAUAUAGGUACAAUGUUCAUUAGUAUCAAAUUGGUAAAAUUCAAGCCAAAUUACAUGCCUCAAUGACAUCACAAUGUGCACCGUAUCAGCAUGUUUUCUUGAUGAUACACAUAUAAAACUACAACCAUACAGAUGAAACAAAGGUGGCUUAUCAUGUGUAUAUCUUGUCGCUAAAGGAGCAAACCAUGAACACAAAAGUAUAAUUUACCAAGUUGGAUAACGAUCAACCACAACUUGCAUCCGAGUGACUACCCAUAUUAGGUUUUUCUUGCACAUCCCAGGGGUAGCACCAAAACCAUCUCCUAGCAGUCCAGCACUUUUACAAUGAUUAAUCGCUGUUUCCUGCAGAAAAGAAGUAUUAAUCAAAAAUCAAGCUUAGGGCACAAGUAAUACUAAGCAAAAAGCUAUAUGUGAACCUGCAAAUUUUAGUUCCUGAUUCAUUGCUCAAACAUUCUAGCCAAUAACUAUAGCACACCUGUAAAUGAUUCAUUAGUGUCUCUAUGGAUGCUGUACGAUCAGCACCUAUCUCAUAAGACCUAAUUGAGAAGUUCUGACGAAAAACAAGACCAUCCUGAACAAUCCUCCCUAUCCCAAAUGGGUCAAUGAGCAUGUCAGGCCGCCUUGGCUUCCAAUCAAGCAUCAUCCACUGCUUCUCAGCAGCCAGGAAAAUGGUUGUGAUAGCAGCAAGAAGCAUGCUCCAAUCAGGGAGCUGAUUGAUAAACGUCCUGGGAGGUGUGGAACUUGCAGCAUCUUCGCUCGUGAAACCUUCUACUGGAGUCAUCACAACCGUGGUACCAUUUAUCUUUGGGGGGGCUUGUGCAUUUGCCAUAACUUGCAAACUUCCAGAAGAAGCAGAUGGUUUCAACUUUAUACCUCCAAGGUUAGUAGAUCCAUUUCCAAGCUUCUUGUUUUUUGAGUCAAUGGAGUCCGGGGAAGAAGUGAUUGGAAAGAAUGAGGAUGUAGCAGCAGUGGCAACCAUAAUUUUAUAAAUUAAAAUGAACUUCUGUUAUCCGCUGAAAUUCCCUCUUUCCGAUACUGCAAUGUAUCACAUAUAGUAAGAAUCAGAUUAUUUCAAAAAGAUGAACUAAAAAACUUGGAUAAUCACAAAAUCCUUAAAUUUUGGCUAUAAUGAAGGCACAUUCAAAACUUCAAUUCUUUCCGUGAAAAGGAAGGAAAUUCUAAAAUGGUAAAGGAUUCCUUCUUCUUCAUUUAAAAAGAAAAAGCAUCCUAUUAAAUUUCUAUAUAAUCUAGCCAAAAUAAAUAUUAUCAAUCAAAGAAAUUCUUCAUUUCUGAAAACCUAGUGAAAAGAGAUGGAAGAUAAAGGACUUACCAGAUACUCAAAAGGAACAAUUCUCUUACAAUUUAAAUAAUAAUAAUAAUAAACCUGGAAUUUAACAGUGGGCGUCACGGUAAAUAUGCCACAAAGAUUCCUAACCAUCGACGACGAAAAUAUACUACAAAAUGUAAGCGGAAUCGCUAUGAAACAAAAAACACCAAAGCAGAUCUCAGACGUAAAAUCGCUAUGAAACAAAAAACACCAAAGCAGAUCUCAGACGUAAAAAGGUUUAAACAAGAAAAGGCCAAAAUUUUUUUGAGGAAAAGACAGAGAAAGUAGCAGUGCGUAUACGAUUUCCUAUCCAUUACAAUGUAGCACGGAACAUCGUCUUCUUUUUCAUUUCUCAUUUCGCCCCUCCAUUUCAUAAGAAAAUUACAACCAAAAAACAUAAUAUGGAAUGGCGAUGAGAAAAUAGAUAAACGAAAAAAGAAGAAUUGAUUUUUAGCAACAUUUGGUUACUGAGAAAUGUGAAAAAAAAAUAGAUCUUCCACCGCCAUCACUGGAUGCAACACACAAAAUCUUUUCCUUUUUAACUAUAAAGAAAAAAAAGGCACUUUUCAUUUCCUUUCCUUCCUCGGCAACCAAACAGAAGAGCAACAUUUCAACGAGAAUGCGCAGAUCAGACAGAAAAAAGGAGAAAUUAAAAUUAAGUUUAAACAAAAACAGUAAACUAAAAAUUCACAUGUAUACCUCAACCAAAAUAAAAAAGGGAAAUGUAGUGGAGAAAAAACGCAAAAUGGAGAAAGUAGUGCGUUACAUAGGGAUCUAUAAACUCUUCUCGGUAACUUCUAGCGCUUGCGAUCUACCAUUACUUUUCCUUCAUCUCUUCUUCGCUGCCUCUCUCCCUCUUUUGUUCCGGCUUUUUUAAAAGAAAUUUAUAAUUUUGAAACCUCGUUCCGAGUUUAGUAUGAUAAUAAAAUAGUGAAAAGAAAUUCUUUUAGUUUGCACAAAGAGAUUGUGGAAUUUAGGGCCAGCGGUGACUACUUUUUUCUUUUUGGUACACCUGUCCCUACUGCCUCUCACUUAUUUUCCAAUUUUAUCACCUUUAUUUUCUCUUAUUUACUCUCUUGCCAUUAUCUAGAAUCUUCGUUUGCUUGUGUUAUUAAUAAUGACAAAAAUAAUACACUUGUUAUGAAUAUUUUAUUAAAUUUUGAUGUAUUUUAAAAUUUAAUAAUAAUUAAAAAUAUAGUUUUCUUUUAUUUGUAUUUCUUAAGUCUAUAUUUAGAGAAAUAUUGUAAAUAUUUUCAUUAAGUAAUAAAAUAUGUUUUCUUUUUUAUUCUUUUAUUUUUUUUGUUCUUUAUUUUUUGUCUUUUUACUUUAUAAUAGCACAGAUAAUAUAUUUUAAAACUAAUUUUCUAUUCCACUCGUGUAUUUUAUAAAAUUUUUAUUAUUUGAAUAAUAAUAUUUUAAUUAAAAUAAUUCACAAAAUAAUAUUUAAAAUAUAUAAAUAAAUUUAAAAAAUAUAUUCAAGGUUUUUUAUAAUAUAAAUAUUUAUAAUAUUAUGAAUAUAAUUUAUACGAGAAAAAAAAAGAUAAAAUUGUUAUAAUAAAUAUAAUUAAUGGCUUGGAAUCUUAAUGUAUAUAUGAUAUAGAUAAAUUUAAAAAUUAAGUUUUAAACCAUUCUUAAUUUUAAAAUAAUUUUAUUUUUUUUCAAUUUCAAAUUAAAAAUAAAUUAUUAAAUAAUUUUUAAUUUUAAAAAUAAUGUAUAUCCAAUACAAUUACAAGAGCUCGAAUUUAUAAGUAUUUAAAAUAUUUGCUAGAUAUUAACAUUAUUUAAAUUGUAAAUCUCUUACUCUAAUAUUUGUAGUAUUAAUUUUAUUGUAGAAAAAGAAAGCAGCCGAAGGAAGAUGAUGAAAUUACCUAAUUAAUUUCAAUAAACCAUAUCUACUUCUAUAUUUAAAAACUUUUGGAAUUGUCUUCUCCAAAUACAAUUUAUCUUAUUACAAUUGGGAAACAUAACAAUUAAAAAACAUAAUUUAUAUUUUUAUUAGAAAUAAAGAUUUCAUUUUUAACUAAUAAGAAUAGGAUAAUCUCUUAAAUUUUAUUAAUGAAUCUCAAGGGUGUAUACAUAUAUAUAUACACAAUAACAGUUACGUAAGAAUCAAGUUACUAAAAGAUAAUAUCCCAUAAUAAUAUCUUAUAACAUCUCAUUAAGAAUCAAAUUAUUAAAAAAUAAUAUCCCAUUAUAAUAUUCUAAACAUUAACCUACUAAGAAAACGAAAACAAAAAUAAAUCACUAUUUUAUAUUGAAUUAUGCAAUAAUUUAAUAUUAAAAUUAAAUAUUAAUAACAAAUAAAUAAUUGCUACUUUAAUAAGUUAAUAAAAAAUUAUCAUAUCAAUGGCUACUAGAGCAACAUGAUUCUCUUCCUUAAAAAACUUAAUAGUAGCCUUUAAAAAAUUGAUUUUAGCUAAAGAAAAAAAGAUUCAGGUGAUUUUUGGCUUAAGAAGUCGAUAAUAGUGGGAGGACUUUUGAAGUUAAAUUAGUUUCGAGACAAAAACCACUUGUCUCCAGAUAUUCAAACAUCGAAGCUAAGUUAAAAAAUAGAGGAGGUUGAUCUCGAGACCCAAUCUCGAGACAUAAGAGAUCAUGCCUCUAGACACAAUUUUUAAUGUCUCGAGAUAAUCUAACUUCGAAACAGAAAAACCUAAAAUAAAUUGAAGUCUGGCUCGAGACACAAAACCUCUUAUCUUGAGACACAACAUUGAAAUUUGAUAAUUAAGUUUGGAUUCAAAUUCCCACUUUUAAAUUGGCUUAGUAUCACCUCAUAAUUCAAUGAUUUAGAUUAUUGCACUCUAUGAAUGUAAGUUUGUGAUUGAAAUGACUAAUCGCUUUGAUAUGAAUGAUAAUUGUGCUCUAAAUGAUGUGAUGAAAGAAGUAAGUUAGCUUGAAUUGUUUCGGCAAUGUAAUGUGACAUCGUACAUUCGGAUUUGGUGACCGGGUCAAGUGUGGGGUGUUACAUUUAGUUAUCAUAUAGACAUAGUAAAAAUAAAUUUAUUACAGAAGUCAACACCUAUAAGCAUCGAUAUUAACUAAAUACAUUUAUUAGGAUUAAAUUUAUGGUAAAUGAUAAAAAAAAUUAAAUAAAACUAAACUUGACAUCUAUAGGUAUCAAGCUUCAUUGAAGGGAUUUAUUAAGCUUAUACUUACAGUAAAUGGUGAAAAUUCAAUUAAGAUCAAAUUCAACACAUAUUGGUGUCAAGCUCUAUUGGAAGCAUUUAUUAGGGUUAGAUUUAUAGUAAAAAGAUUUAUAGUAAAAAGUGAAAAAUCAUAAUCAAAGAACUCGACAACUAAAGAUGUCGAGCUUCUUUUCAAUUAAUAUAUGAGUUGUCAGCUUCCACACCAUUCAAUUUUAAUUUUUUAAAGGCAUGUAACAUACAUAACCGUCUCCAUCACCAGAUUAGGGUUACAGAGUACUAUCGUACAAUUCAGAACAAUCAAUAAUAGAUAGCAUCAAGUUUACCAAAUUAAUUAACAAAUGUUCAUAAAUAAUUAAGAUCGAAGUAAAACAUACUCUUAUAGGUCUUAAUCGAGCCUUCAAGGCCCUAAAAAUAGUUUAAGAACAAUCAGAGACCAAUUCGAAACAAAUCAAAAAGUUUAGAGAAAAAACUAAAAAUUUUCAAAAUAAAGGUCACACAGCCAUGUGGCCAAGUCGUGUGACAUAGCUCAAGCCGAGUGGCAUUCGAAAUACACUCACACUGCCGUAUUGUAGGCCGUGUGAUAGACCGUGUUCAAUUCGAUGUUGGGUCACACGGCCGUGCCGCAGGCCGUGUGUCAGCCUGUGCAAAAUAUGCACUUAAUACUUUCAGGCACAUGCCCGUGUGACAACCCAUGCCCCAAGUCGUGUGUGUAACACUCGUAACCCGUAUCCAUCGCCGGAAUAGGGCUAUGAGGUAUUACCGAUCAAAUACAGCAUACAACAUACAUUUCUCAUACAUGAAUCCAUUAUCACAUAAACAUUAAUCAAACAUAAUCACAAUUUCCCUUAUAAGGCUCUACGAAACUUUAAAACAUGCUUGGAAGAGGUUCAGGACUAAACUGAUAACAUUCGAAAACUUUAGGAAACUUAGAAAAUUUUCAUGCAUAAAAGGAUCACACGCCCAUGUGAACAGGCCGUGUGCAUCACACGGCCACCGGGCACGCUUGUGUCAUAGGCCGUGUGAAAAUAGGGCAUACAUAUUGACUUGUACCACACGGCUUGAGACACGCCCGUAUGUCAUGGACGUGGGAAAACUGGAGGGUAUACUGACAUGGGUCACACGGCCGGCCACACACCCAUGUGCCAGCCCUUGUGUCACACACGGCCAGUAGACACGCCCGUGUGUCUAAGCCAUGUAACUCUUUAACUUGUUUUAACUAGGAUUCAAGGGUCACAAGGUCGAUUCACACACCCGUGUGCUCAACCUUGUGGCACAAUAAGCUUGAUUUAAGCCAUUAUUCCCACCUGUCAUUCAUGUACCUAAAAACAUUCAUUUGACAUCAUUUUCACAUAAAAUAGGAAACCAAAAAUGAAAAUUUCAUGCACAUUUUAUGCAAUUUAAAAUCCAUCCAUUUCACUACUCAAAUCCACAACCAGAAUCAUGCCAAAACAAUAUGCCAUAACAUUAAAUUCUAUAUGCAUUUUCUCACCAUCUUAUUAACUAUUACAUACCACAAAAUAUACCAAUUCAUCAUGUUAAAACUAAGCCACAACAUGCCAUUUCUCAACCAUGAUAUAUCAUUGAUAAUUAACCAAAUCAAUUAUCCAUCUAGCCAAAUCAAUUAUCCAUCUAGCCAAUAAAUGAACCAUAUAAAACUUACCAAAACAUAAGGCAUUAUAUGUAUCAUAUAUCACUUAUCAAACUUAUAAAUUAAGCCAACUUAUAUGGCCAAAUACACAUCAAUAUUUACAAGCCAAAUCUCAUGGCUAAAAUUAUAACUCAAUACAUAUCACCAUAUCACUAGCCUAUACAUGCCAUAUACCAUAUUUACAAAGCAUCCAAAAAUAACAACAAGUAGUCGAUAGUGUGAUGAUGGUUCCUAAUGAUCCCCGAUGUCUGAGCUAGCUUCGAUAAUCUAUAAAACGAGGAAAAAACACACAAAGUAAGCUUUAAAAGCUUAGUAAGCCAUAUACAAAUAAAACUAUCUCAUGAAUCAACAUCAUUUCCAUCAAGUAAGCAAAUUAUGAAUAAGUACAUAUAAUCUUAGAAACGUUCCCAAAUGUAUACAUAUUCAACUUCAUAAGUGAAUUCAUCAAAUACUUCCCUUUUCAAUACUUGUAUGAAUCCUAUACGUACCUGAGUUGCUUAACUAAUUUACACAUUCUUACUCGACUUGACUUUACCCGUUGAACCUUUUGAAAUCAUUAAGGAUACUAGGAAAUCACAUAUAUCUCGUACAAUGCCAUAUCUCAUAUAUGGUCUUACAUGUUACCACAUAUCGAUGCCAAUGUCCCAGACAUGGUCUUGCACGUAAUCACAAUACAAUGCCAAUAUUCCAGACAUGGCCUUACAUGUAAUCACAUCUCGGCAAUCCUAAUGUCAUGACAUUCGUAUCCUAUACUAUUCUUAGGGUUCUUACGGGACUUUCGAUUAACAUAACUUUGUCGAUACUUAGUUGUAUUUGCUCGUUCAACAUUCAUAGAAAUUCAAUGAUAAAUGAACAUUUAUAAAUCAAUUUAAAGGUAUUUAUUUGCAUAUGAACUUACCUCGUAGUCGAAAUAGAGGGACUGGAUUGACUAUUCAAUAAUAUUUGAUUUUCCCCGAUUUAAAUCUGAUUUCUUUCUUUCUUGAUCUAUGCACAUUCAAAAUUAACUCAUUUAUUCAUCAAAUCAUUCAAUUUAGUCCAUAAAAACAUAUUUGAGCAUUUUUACACUUUAGACCUAAAGUUACAUAUUUUUACAAUUUAGUCCUUACUUAAUAAAUACACAAAAUUCACUCAAUUCAAUUUAACCCAUGCUUGGCUGAAUUACCAUAGUGCCCCUAGUAGCGAUCUCAAAAACAUAGAAAUCAUCAAAAAAUGAAUUCUAGAUUUUUACAAUUUAGUCCUUACUUAAUAAAUUAGGGCAUGGGCUAGCUAGUACUCGAAGCAAUGAUAUCAAAAACAUAAAAAUCAUCAAAAACCGAACAAAUUUCAUACCUCAAUCAAGAUGAACAAGGGCUGAAUGGAUGAUAGCAUCAAAACCUUAUUCUUUCUCUAAUAUUCGGUGGUGGAAGAACACAAUAUGAUGAAUCAAAUUUUGUUUAUUUGUUUUAAUUAACCUUAAUUUCACAUUUACUAAAAUACCAUUAAUGCUUAAUAUUAAAUUUCCACUAACUAAAGGCAUAUUUGUCCAUCCAUAAAUCAAAUGGUCUAAUUUCAUCAUAAGGACCCCACAUUUAAUGGAUCAUAGCAAUUUAAGCACUUUAAAAAUUAAAAUGCAACUUUUGCAUUUUACGCAAUUUAGUCCUUUUUUCUCAAAUUAAGCUAUUAAACGAUAAAAUUAGCUCACGAAAUUUUCACACAUAUAUAUUCACAUGCUGUAAACACAAAAUAAUAUUAAAAUAAUUUUUUGACCCGAAAUUGUUUCGAUUUAAGCUAAAACCGGCCUGUUACAACUUUCCCCCUUAGGAAUUUUCGUCCCCGAAAAUCUUAUCAGUGAACAGUUUUGGAUAUUGCUUUCUCAUAGCAUCCUCGAGUUCCCACGUAGCUUCUUCAACCGCGUAGUGGAUGCCAUAAUACUUUCACUAAUGCUAUUCUUUUAUUUCUUAACUCUUUGAUCUCACGAGCCAAAAUUCAGAUUGGUUCUCCACUAUAUGAUAAGUUUGGUUGAAUCUCAACCUCAGUCGGGGAAAUAACAUGUGAAGGAUCGGAUCGAUAUCUUCGUAGCAUCGAUACAUGAAACACAUUAUGUAUCUUCUCUAAUUCAGACGGUAAAGAUAGACAAUAAGCAAUUGGCCCAAUUUGCUCGAUAAUCUCAUAUGGUUCAAUGAAUCGCGGACUCAAUUUUCCUUUCCGACCAAACCGUAAUAUCUUUUUUCACUGCGACACUUUCAGAAACACUUUAUCCCCGAUCUGAAACUCAAUAUCUUUUCGUUUUAAGUCUGCAUAAAAUUUCUGUCGAUCCGAAGUUGCUUUCAAACUAUCGCGAAUUAUUUUCACUUUCUCUUCUGUUUCUCUGACCAGAUCAACCCCGUGAAUCUUAUUCUCACUAAGGUCACUCCAAUACAAUGGUGUUCAGCAUUUACGACUGUAUAGAGCUUCAUAUAGUGUUAUCUUUAUACUCGAUUGAAAGCUAUUAUUGUAAGAAAAUUCAAUCAACGAUAAAUAUUUCUCCCAGCUACCUUUAAACUCAAGAAUGCGACAUCGUAACAUAUCCUCAAGUAUUUGUAUAAUUCGUUCGAAUUGACCAUCUGUCUGCAGGUGAAAUGCGAUACUAAAAUGUAUAUUUUUGCCCAAUGCGUCUUGCUGUUUCUUUCAAAACCGCGAUGUAAGCCUCGAAUCUCGAUCUGAAACAAUGGAAAUAGGUACCCCGUGUAAUAUCACAACCUCGGAGACAUAUAACUCAACUAACUUAUCAAGCGAGAAAUCUGUACAUACAGGGUAAAAUGAGCUAAUUUCAUCAAUUUGUCAACAACGACCCAGAUCUUAUCUUUCUUUCUCGGAGAUAAGGCAAACCAAUACAAAAUCCAUAGUCACUUUAUCCCAUUUACACUCAGAAAUCAUGAUAGGCUGUAAUAAACUUGACGGUACUUGAUGCUUAACUUUGACGUGCUGAAAAAUCAAACAUUUCAAAACAAAUUCUGAGAUAUCUCGUUUCAUGCCAUGCCACCAAUAAAACUGUUUCAAAUCAUUAUACAUUUUCGUACUUCCCGAGUGUACUGAUCAACAACUACUAUGUGCUUCGUUCAAAAUCAUCUGAAUCAACUCUGAAUUCCUCAGAACAUAUAUUCAGUCCUUGAAUUUUAAACAAUCAUCGGAAUUAACUUGAAACUCUGAAUCAGGAUUCAACUCACACUGAACUCGUUUUGCUUGUAGUUCAUUUUCAAACUUUUGAGAUUCACAAAUCUGUUGUAUAAACAACGGUCUCGCUUUCAACUCAGUUACUAACAAACCAUCGUCAGACAAAGCCAAAUAUAUGUUCAAAGCAUACAAAGCAAACAGGGACUUUCGGCUCAAAGCAUCAACAACUAUGUUCGCUUUCCCUAAAUGGUAGUCAAUUACUAAGUCAUAGUCUUUUAACAAUUCUAACCAUCUCCGUUGUCGCAAAUUCAAAUAUUUCAAGCUUUUGUGAUCGGUAUAAAUAUGGCAUUUCUUACCAAACAAAUACUGGCGCCAAAUUUUCAACGCGAACACAAUAGCUGCUAACUCUAAAUCGUGCGUCGUGUUAUUCUUUCCAUACGAUUUCAACUAUCUCAAAGCAUAAGCUAUAACUUUUCCUUCCUGCAUCAAAACACAACCCAGACCAUUCAAUGAUACAUCACUGAACACUAUAAAUUCUUUACCCGAUUCAGGCUGAACUAACACUAGAGCUUCAGUCAAUAAUACUUUCAACUGUUCAAAACUCUGCUGAUACUUUUCUGACCACUCAAAUUUAACAUCUUUUUUAAGCAAAUCAUGUCAUCAGAGUCACAAUUAUCAAAAAGUCUUUCACAAAUCGUCUAUAAUAACCCGCUAGUCCCAGAAAACUACGAAGCUCAGAAACAUUUCUCGGAGGCUUCCAAUCUAUAAUUGCAUAUAUCUUACUCGGAUUAACCCAGAUACCAUUAGCUGAAACAAUGUCCCAGAAAACUAACCUCUCAUAGCCAAAACUCACAUUUGCUGAAUUUUGCAUACAACUGCUUAUCUCUCAAAGUUGGUAUCACGAUUCUCAAAUGCUCGGCAUGUUUAGAUUCAUCACGAGAGUAAAUUAAAAUGUCAUCAAUAAAUACAACGACAUAUCAGUCUAAAUACUGCUUAAAAAUUUGGUUCAUUAAGUCCAUAAAGAUAACAGGUCUAUUCGUUAGUCCGAAAGGCAUAACUAAAAAUUCAUAAUGUCCGUACCUCGUUCUAAAAGCAGUCAUUGACACAUCAGAGUCUUUAACUCGCAACUGGUAAUAACUCGAUCUCAAAUCGAUUUUCAAAAACACUGUUGCCCUUUUUAAUUGAUCAAACAAAUCAUCAAUCCGUGGUAGAGGGUAUUUGUUCCUUAUAGUCACUUUAUUCAGUUGUCUGUAGUCAAUACACAUUAUCAUCGUGCCAUAUUUCUUUUUCACAAACAAUACCGGUGCACCCCAAGGAGAGAAACUCGGUCUAGUAAAACCUCUAUCUGUCAGUUCUUGCAACUGAGUUUUCAAUUCUUUUAACUCUGUUGGAGCCAUUCUGUAUAGAGCUAUCGAUAAUAGUGUUGUACCAGGUAUAAAUUCUAUACCAAACUCAACCUUUUAGAUCAGUGGUAAACUCGAUAACUCUUCAGGAAACACAUCCGAAUACUCACACACAACUGGCACUAAUUCGAUCUUCUUUUUAGUCACUUUAAUAUCAAACACAUAAGCAAAAUAAGCUUCACAACCCUUUCUCACAUAUUUCUGAGCUAACAUCGAUGAAAUCACAGCUGGUAAAUCAUUCAAAUCAUUUGACUCAAUCCGGAUAAUCUCAUUAUUCUGAUAUCUUAGAUCAGUUGUCUUUCGUUUACAAUUUAUUAUAGCAUCAUGUAACGUUAGCCAAUCCAUACCUAGAAUUAUAUCAAAUUCAUCAAAUGGUAACAACAUCAGAUCAGCCGGAAAACAAAAAUCUCGAAUCAUCAAUGGACAGUUUCUGCACACUUUAUCAAUCAAGACACACUUGCAUAAAAGGGUUCGGUACUCUAAUCACAAAUUCAGUAGACUCUACAGGAAAAGUCUUACUGGAUACUAAAUUCACACAUAUAUACGAAUGAAUUGGUCCUGGAUCUAUCAAUGCAAUCAAAUUAGUAUCAUAGAGAGUAAAAAUUACCAGUAAUAACAUUUGGAGAGGAUGCUUAUUCGCGAGCGCGAAUAGCGUAGGCUCGUGCAGGUGCUCUAGCAUCUAACCUCAUAGCAAAAUCUUUAGUCGCUCUUUGGCUACCACUCAAAUUUCUCAUGUUUCUGGGUAGUCUACCUCUAACUGCAGUGUUACUCGGCCUCGUGUUUUAUACUGUAUCUUACUCAACCAACUCAAGACAGUUACGAAUGAAAUGAUCUAACAAUCCACAUUUAAAACAGACCCGAUCAUUCAAUCUAAAAUUAUUGAUAUGCCAUUUUCGACACUUUCUACAUUCAGGUUUAUUUGGUUUCACACUCCCGACACUAGCUAUCGAGAUAGCCGGAGCUUUAAAGCUUGAAUGUUGUCUUUCACGAUCUCUGUUUGAAUGUCCAACUGAUGUAUUUGAAUGAUUAAACAAGUCUCAAAAUUUCUUUGAUGCAGACUAUAAGAUUUACUAGUUGAUCUCUUUCUCAAAUCUCUUGCUUCAAAAUUAGCUUUUCUUUUUUCUUUACUAAGAUCUUCAACUUUAUAGGCUCUUUCAACCAAAACAACGAAUUCUUUCAAUUCAAGAAUCCCGACUAACAGUUUUAUAUCCUCGUUCAGUCCAUUAACGAACCGUUUACAUAUGAUCUUCUCAGUAGAUACAUAUUCUCAAGCAUACUUGCUUAAACAUACGAAUUAUCUUUCGUACUCAAUGACAGUCAUCCGACCUUGUUUCAAUUCUAGAAACACUUUGUACUUCUGAUCGAGAAAUCACUGACUUAUGUACUUCUUUUAAAACUCAGAUUGAAAGAACUCUCAGGUAACCCGUCCUCUUAGAACUAAAAAUAUCAACGUUUUUCACCAAUGGUACGCAUUAUCUCUCAGCAAAGAUACAACACAUUUGAUACACUCAUCAGGAGUACAAGAUAAUUCAUCAAAUACCCGUAUUGUGUUCUCAAGCCAGAACUCAGCUCUCUCAACAUCAUCAUCAAUAGUAGCCCAGAACUCCUCAGCUCCAUAUUUUUUAAUCUUAUCCACUGACGGCUUGUUCAACUGUGUCAAAUCUAUAACUUGAGGAAUAGUAGGGUUUUGUUGAGGAACAGGUAAGGUGAAUUUGUUGAGCAGCCGGAUUAGUUUGAACGAACUCCAUGAACCACUUACUCAUCAUAUGGAAAAAGGUUUGUUUAACCUCUCACUCGUGGCUACUCAAAAUUGACCUAGAAUCAGCCGGUGCUAUCCUUUAAGCGGGAGUGGGCGCAUUACUUUCCACAUCCUUAGCUAAAGCUCUUUCGAGAUCCAAUUACUAUAUAAAAACACACUUUAAGCUGUCAGGAAUCAUCACACAAUCGCAGUUUAUAUAUAUGACAUGUAUAGCUAGACUCUCACAUGCUACGUUAGUCCUAGAAUUGACUAAAUCGUAGCUCUAAUACCAAUAAAUGUAACACCCCUAACCUGUAUUCGUCGCCGAAAUAGGGCUACGAAGCAUUACUGAUCAAAUACAGCAUACAACAUACAUUUAUCAUACAUGAAUCCAUUAUCACAUAAACAUUAAUAAAAAAUAAUCACAAUUUCCCUUAUAAGGCUCUACGAGACCUUAAAACAUGCUUGGAAGAGGUUCGGGACUAAAUCGAUAACAUUUGACAACUUUAAGAAACUUAGAAAAUUUUCAUGCAUAAAGGGAUCACACACCAGUAUGUGCCCAAAAAUGACCAUUGUUCCAAUUUAAGCCAUUGUUCCAAUUUGUGGUCUCGAAAUCAUUGUUCCAAUUUAAGCUAAAACUGGGUUGUUACAGUAUGUGCCCAAAAAUGACCCAAAACACUCAUUUCAUAUCCAAAUGCUUUCAUACCUAAAUCAAAUUUCAACAAAAGAGUAUAAGACCUGAAAAAUGCAUUUCAAUGACACUCAAAGCAUGUUAAGACAAUCAACCUAAAACCUAACCAAUAUAUCAUCAAUGGCACCACGAUACAACACUUACCCAAUUCAUUUCCUUAACUACAUAUAGAAACCACAAACAUGCUUCUAAUGACCUAUAAUGAAUCUCAAAAUGUCAUACUUAACUCAAGCCAAUCUUAUUAUAUCACAUUCUGUAAUGACCCAAAAUUCACGGGCACUGAAAAAGUGAGUUAUAGGGCCUUCGUCUUAGUGAAAUAAGUUCGAAAAUAAUUAUUAAAAAUAUUUAUAAGCCUAGUGGUGUAUCUAAUUAGGUUUUAAUUAGGUGAAUUUAGCUUAAUUUAGAGUAAUUAGUAAAAAGGACUAAAUUGAAUAAGAGAUAAAAAUUGAAUUAUAGAUUAAAAGAAAGUAUAAAGGGCCAAAAUGGUAAUUAAGCCAAUUCUUAAAUAUAAGGCGGCAUAAGUUGAUUGAAUUGAAGAUAUUACAUAAUAUUUAAUUAAAAACUAUUAAGGUUUAAUAUUAAAUAAUAAUAAUUAUUAUUAUAUUAUGAAAUAAGUUAAAUAAAGACAAAUGAAUGGUAGUGAUUUAAUACAAGUGUAUUAAUAGAAACAUAUAUAUUUGUGAUAUUUUAUUUAAUUAGUAAAAGAUAUUUAUUAGAUAAAAUAAUUAAAUUGUGAGAUUUUUUGAGUAAUGAACAAAUUAGAUAGUGACAUUUGUAAUAAUGUAAAUAUAUACAUUUGUAUUACAUUUAUUUAUUUACUUGAAAAUUUAAGUAAAAGAUAAUUACUAAUUAAAUAAUUAUAUUAGGAGAUUUUUAUUAGUAAAUAAAUUGAAAGUAUGACAAUUGUAUGGUAUUGAUAUUGUACAAAUGUACAAAAAUAUAUGUGUACAAUUGUAGUAUUUAUACUUGUUAUUAAAAUAAAUUAUAAUUUAUAUUAAUAAUAUUAUAAGAUUUUUGUAUAAUAAAUAAAUAAAAGAAAGACAAAUGGAUGGUCAUGAUAAUAUACAAAUGUAAAAAUAUUUAUGAGUGUACAUUUGUUAUAUAUAUAUUUGUGUAUUAAAUAGAUAUUUAUUAUAUUUGUUAUUAUUAUUUAAUUAAUUAACACUAUAUUAUUACAUUAAUGAAUAAAUUAAUAAAUUGACAAAUGUAAGGUGAUAGUAAAAUACAAGUGUAAUAAAUCAUAUACAUACAAUUAUAAUAUAUUUAUUUAUUUACUUAUUAUUUAAUAAAUAAUAAUAUUUAUUAAGUUAAUAUAAUAAAAUAAUAAACAAAGGUAAAAUAAAAAGAAACAAAGUAAAAGAAACAGAGAAGUUAUUUCGAAAUAGGAUAAAAUAAAAAACUAGGGUUUUAAGGUUUGAAGCUUUAAAAGGUAAGUCAAUUAAGUCAUUUUCUCUUAAUUUUGAUGUUUUAAAAGCUUUAGAACAAAGUUUUGAUGAAAUUAAGUUGAAGUUUUGAAAGUUCUUAAGUUUUUGAACAUAGUUCAUGUUGAACAAAAUAAUGAAUUAGGGAUUUAAUUGAAUGAAUUUUAAGUUAGAAUUGAUUAAAGGAUUAAAUUGUAAAUUAGGCUAUAAGUUUUGUGUUGUAGGGAAUAAAUUGAAAGAAGUUUUAAAUUAGAGUUUUAUUAUGAACAUUAGAUAGUUAAGUAGAAUAUGGAAGGAAAUUGAAUAGAAAUAAAGUAUGAAUUGAGUUAGAAAAGUAGAUGAGUUAAUUAGGAUUAAAUUGGAAUUAGGGUAUAAAUUGGAUAGAAAUUCAGUUAUUAUUAUUUUUAAUUAAUGCUGUAAUUAAUAGUGUAAAUUAUUAUUAUUAUUUUCGUAGCUAACAAAGAACCCAAAGUAUUGGCACGAAAAGGAAAGGAGAAAGUUAUCGAGGAGUAAUCGCGAAAUCCGGGUUUGUAUUACUAUAAUUCAAGUUAUUUAUUAUUAAGUAUUAAUUUUAAAUUUAUUUAUUUUAUAGUAAGUAAAUAUUGAGGUAAGUAAAUUUAUUGAAUUGAAUUUAGAAAAUUGAAUUGAAUGAGAAAUACGUGUUAGUAUUACUAUAAUUUGAAUUUAGUUAUUAUUAAUUGUUGAAUUUUAAGUUAAUGUGCAUGGUAAGUAUUAGUAUUGAAUUGUAUGAAAUUAAAUUGAAUUGUGAUUAUAUGUGAAUAAUUGAAAUGUAUAUUUAAUUGAGAAAGUGAUGUUGAAUUGAGAAAAAGAAUUGAAUACCCUAUUAACUAGUCGGGCUGAGUAGGAUAUAGUUGGCAUGCCAUAUGAUUGGAAAUGUUUAGGGAUGCUUCGACCUCGAGUCGAUGAGACACUGGGUGUCACUAUUUUACUUCGGAUAGAUUUGAUGAGGUAGUGGGUACCACUUUACUUCGGCUAGGCCGAUGAGACACUGGGUGUCAACUUUGCUUCGAACUAUCCACUGAGGCACUAGGUGCCAAAUUGGGGUCUUUGGUUGGAUCCGUGUAUCUGCCAAAUUCUGAAUCUGUUAAUAGAGGUAAUUAAAAGAAUAGUUAAGUUGAAUAAAAUGAAUCGGUUAAGCCACUGUAAGAAAUGUAAAAAUAGAACAUGAAUUGAAAAUGUGAUUUGAAUGUGAGUAUGAGAAUGGAAAGCAUGAAUUAAUGGUUCAUGGAAUAGACAAUGGCUCAACAUGAAUGUUUAUGAUUUCAAUUGACGAAUAGAUAAAUUCAAUUGUAUGAAUAUAUCGAGAAUGGCAAAUUUAUUUUUGAAUUGGUUUAGUAAAUAUUAAAGUUAGAUGAUUUAAUUUACAUGAUUAUUUUGUUUAUAAUUUGAAUUAUGGUAAUACCACUGAGUAUAAAAUACUCAGCGUACGGUUCUUUCCGUGCGUAGGUUAAUAGGUAUUCAGAGUCUUGGUUUAGCAUCCAGGUGAUCCCAACUCCAGCGCAAAACUCGGUGAUAUAUUCUUUUUUUGGCAAAAGUGGCAUGUACAUAGGUGUUAAUUUGGUCAAUUUAAAAUGCUAUAUAAUUUUUGUUAUAAAGAAUGGUAUUUGGUAUUUUGGUAUUGAAACUAAUGAAAUAGUAUGAAAAUUUAUAUGAUAUAUUUGGUAUAAUUAAUACUAACAUGAUCUUUUGAUACUUGGUUUAAUAAAAUGGAAAUAGAAUUAUCAUAACAUAUUUGAUAUAGUUGGGAACAAGUUGAAAUAGAAUGAAUGAAGUUUAUUUAAUUAAAUAAUAUAUGCGAAUGUUUACUCAGUAAAUUACUGAGUUGAUGUUGAACUAUGUUUAGGUGUAUUUAAAUAUGAAAUUGUAUGGAUUGUGAUAUUGGUUUUGAAUUGGCUGCGAUUUGAAUUUGCAGGGAAGGUUAAAUAUUCAUAAAGGGGUUAUAUUGAACUUUUUUUCUAAAAAAAAACAAAGAAGUCAAUUAGCAAAAGUUUUAUAUGAACUUAUGAUUAUAUUAUAAUAUGUUCGAUAAUUAUUUGAAUAUUAAUCGUAAAUUAUUUGAUUAUCCGGUAUGCCUCGUACCCCUGUUUCGGCGACGGUUUAGGGUUAAGGGGUGUUACACAUUCAUCCAUUAUGCUUAAGCUUAGAAUUAAGCAUGCAUACCUAACAAGUUAUUCAAAUCACAACAUCAUAUGCACACAACUAUACAAUAUAAGUAUUUAGGAACUAUUACAGACCAUAACCAAAUUCCCCUAUUACAUGCCUUAUAAACCAAAUAGAAUUCAAAAUCUACCAAAAGAUCCCCAAAUAGUGUGAAUUAUUCGAGUUGAUCCGAUUCACAAAAUGUGAUCUACAAGGAAAAGACAAAGACACAAGUAUGCUUUCAUAAAGCUUAGUUAGUUCGUCAGUUAAACAAUAAAACUUAAUUAACUAAAUAUAAUAAUUCAAAUAACAAGAUAAAUGAAUGGAGUUCCUGUCAACAAGGCUAUUAUCAGAAUUCCUAUCAACCACAACCCACAACGAGUAAUUUUAAACAUUAGUUCAAAUCAAUUUUCCACAUUUCAAUACAUUCACAUUUCUUAUUAUCACAAUGCAUAAUCUCUUUAACAAAUAACGAUGAUACAACAUUUACCACAUUUACACAUAUAUGCUAUUACGAACUGCUUACUGUUUCGCACCUUGCAUUUAGAUCGUCAAGUGUUUCUAUGCAACGCAUACUAGAAAGACGAUUGAAAUCCAGGUACAUGUUUCAUAUUGUGCCAUAUUCCAACUAUAGUAUUACAUGUGUAUUGUCAUGACACUACCAUGGUCUUAUGUUCAUAGUGGCAUAACCCGGUUAUGGUCUUAUCAUCAGGACACUAUAACCCAGCUAUGGUCUUACAUAUAUACACUGCCAUGGUCCAACCAUGGUCUUACGUCUGAAUAAUUGCCAUAGCAUCACUAUUGACUUAAGUACGGUUGUAGCUUGUCUCAAUUGAUAUUAGGAAUUAUCAUUUUCGUAACUUUUUAUAACUCCAAUUCUAUCAACAAAUCAAUUUAAUAUUAGUAAUUUUAUAUCAUUUCAGGUCUAACAUUCAUAAACAAUUAGAAAUAUAAUCAAGUUCAUAUUAAAUGAACUUACAUGAUGAAAAAACGAAGUUGAAAUCGAGACAAUGAUCAAUCUGUUCCUUUAACCUUUCCGCAAUUAGAGCCUAAUUGAUUUAUUUCUUGAUCUAAUAUGAAACCAAAGCUUGACCGAAGUUUUUCAAGCCCUAACAAUGGUUAUUCGGUUCAAGAAAAAUAUGAUAUUUACCUUUAAUUCAUUAAAUUUAACUUACCAUUUAACUAUUUACAAUUUUAACCUUUUAAUUUUCACUUAUAAAAUUACUCUCUUAUGUACAUAAAUGUCCAUAACAUAUAACUAUGGUAUAAUUACUAUAAUAGCCCAUUUUUCAGUGAAAUCGGAACAGUGGUUUCGGGACCACAAAUUCGAUCCAAAAAUAAAGUUUAUUUUUAUUUUAUUAUUAUUAUAUGGUCUGUGAUAGAUUUGUUGUGUGAAAAAUUUGAUAUGAAAUUUUUAUCGAUUAAGUGUUUAAUUACGAGAAGGACUAAAUCGCAUAAAAUGCAAAAGUUAAAUUCUAGUAGUUAUAAGGAUUAAAUAGCUAUGGAAUUCAAAACUAGAGGUCCUUAUAUGGUAAUUAGACCAUAAAAGAAAACUAUGUAGAUUUUUGGUGACUCAUCCAUGGAAAAAUUAAAAAAAGGUAAGGACUAAAUUGGAUUUAAAAUAAUUAAUUAAUUAAAAAGAUGAUAAAAGAUAUCAUCUUAUUAUUUUGUCAUCUUCAACCUCAAAAAUUAUAUGGAAACCCUAGGAGAGAAAGCAAAAACUUUCAAGGCUUAAUUGCUUUGUCCUAUUUUUAGUAAUUUUGAUAUUUUUAAAACCGUGAUAGCUUAAUCUAUCUAUUUGGGGGAUUAAUUUAAAAAGUUAUUAUGAAAUUUGGGUCAUGGAUGAAUAUGCUGAAAAUUAGAAAUUUAUGGUAGAAAAUGAAAGGUUGUUGAUAGAUAAACAACUUUUACAAAGUGAUUUUUGAUGGAAACAUGAUUUAGGGACUAAAAUGUAAAGUUGUGAAAUUUGAUGAAGAAUUCUGAAUACAUGUGCUGUAAAUUUUGUAAUGGGAUUUUGGUUAGGCUUGGAAUAUGGAGUAAAUUGCACAAGUUUCAUUUUCCGAGCCUAGGGACGAAAUUAGAAUUUAGGGAAAAGUUAUGGGUAAAAUGGUAAUUUUUUCUAGGACGUAGAUUGAGUCCAAAUGAAUACAAAAUAUGAGAAAUUGAUGAUUAAAAAUAUUUAUAUAGAUCCAGACAACAUAAAUUCGAGGUUAGAUCGAGGAAAAGAAAAGGUUUUGGAUUCGUAGAUUACUUAUGCGAACAAGUAUCGAGGUAAGUUCGUGUAACUUAAUCGAACAUGUAAAUAUGUUUAAUUGAAUUUUGUGUUUGUAUGGAAUGUGACUUAUAUUGAUGUACAUUAUUUAAAUGCUAUAAUGAAAAUUUUAAUACAUGCUUGAAAUGGUGAAAAAGGGUUAAGUCUCGAUUGAAUACUGAAUUUCGAUGAUUAUAUGCGCUUUCUCGAAAUGAAUAAGGUCCUGCAUUUGUUACGGACGGGAUUUAGCUCAGACGAGUAAUCCUAUUGAUCUUGUUAUAGAAAGGAUUUAGCCCAGAUGGGUAAUUUGAUAUAAUAUCUCUCGAGUAUACGUUACGAUUAGGGUUUAGCUUGGACUGGUAAUCCUGUUAUACGAAAUGUGGCUCGAAAGCGUGUUCCUUGGUUAAGUGCCCUAAUGGGUACUCUUAAAUAAAAAUUGAUGGGUUAUUGAAUUGUACGCCUCGAGUGUACUACUUGAGUAUCCAUCGGAAUAUCAACGAUUCAACAGACAAAACUCUUGACAUGAUGAGAGAAUUAUGAUAUGAAAUGAUAAUAUCUUGAAAGAAUAUUGCAUGCUGAGCUCAUCUAUGUUUACUUGAUUGAUAUGAAGAUUUUGUGACUAGCAUGUUUGAUUGAAUGUAUGUGUUUAGACAAUUAUUCCAAAUGGAUGGAAACAAGAUAUUGUAUGCUUAAAUUUAAUAAACACAAGAUUGGUAAGUUUAGUUUCCGUUAUACGAACUUACUAAGCAUGUAAUGCUUACUCCAUUUUAUUUUUCCCCUAUUUUAUAGUGCUUUGAAGCUCUCAAAGGUUGGAGAUCAUUGGAGCAUCAUCGCACUAUCCACUAGCUAUUUUGGCUAUAUAUAGUAAAAUCAUUUUGGUAUAAUGGCAUGUUUAGGCGAUUUUGGCCAUAGAUGGCUUAUAUAUGUGGUUUGUAAUCUAGCCAUUGGAAUGGCUAGUAAUGGUUGUUUUUUAUAUACUUGUAAUGUCAUACUAUGGUAGCUAUAUGCAUGUUAAUGGUUGUUCAAAUUAUGCCUAACAUUAAUAUAUGGAAUAUACCAAGGUAAGAUUAUAAACAUGUAUGCAAACAAUGAUAUGCCAUGUUGGAUGAUGAAAAUUGCUCAAUUUGAAUGCUUGAAAUGGUUGGAAUGUGUUUGGUAUGUUUUAGUGCAGGAAAAUGGUAAAUUUGGGUGACAAAUAAGGCUAGGAAAUGGCUUUAUUUUGUCCAUAUGAGCAGACACACGGGUGUGUGUCUAGACUGUGUGUGACACACAGCCAGGUACGUGGGCGUGUAGUUAGGCCGUGUGUUCCAUGCAUCUUAAUUUUGAGAAACAGAAUGUUCACAAUUGAGCACACAGGCAGAGACACGGGCAUGUGUCUUAGCCGUGCGUUCUACACGGCCUAGAACAUGGGCGUGUGUCUUGGCCGUGUGAAACCUACACCUAAUUUCGAAUUGAAUUAAUUAACCACACGGCCUAGAACACAGGUGUGUGGCAUGGCCGUGUGCACAAGUCAGAGAGUUACACGGGGUCGAACACGGCCUGCAGCACGGAUGUGUCCUAGGGUCACACGGGCAUGUCCCUUGGACCAUACAGGCGUGUGACCCCUGCACCUAGGAAAUUUUUGAAAUUUCGCAAAAAUUUCUUAGAGGUCCUGAUUAAGUCCCGACUUGAUUCUAACGCUCAUAUUGGGCCUUGAGGGUCCAAUUAAGGGACAUUUUAUUUGAUCUCGGUUAAUGAAUAAUAAUUUACAUGAAUUAUUUGUAAAAUGUUUUGAAAGUUCUGGUAAUGCCCUGAAACCCUGUUUCGACGACGGAUAUGAGUUAGAGGUGUUACAAUUACCAUCCAAGGAAGGUUUAAUUGCACAAUUGGUUAUUCAAUUAUAUUAAAUUUCAACUAAACAAGCUUAAUUUCAAUUCAACCCUAAACUAAUUAGAACUAAAUGAGCAAAUAGCGAAAAAGUUAGUAGAUUUAAUCACGUCACCACCGCUUGGACUUUUUUACCAUGGUUUAAUCACCAUUUUGGUCCCUUCAGUAUUUUAAAUCUAUAGCAAUUAACUUUUACCUCUUUUACAAUUUAAUCUUUUUACCUUAAUUAAGCAAUUACUCGUAAAAAUUACUGGACCAAACUUCAAUUCACCUAUAAUAUGACUCUGUAAGUAUUUAAUAAAAUAUUUACAACUUUAAAAUUAUAAACACGAUGUCCCAAUACCUCAUUUUCAACAACCAUUUAACUUUUGGACUAAAUCGUUUAUACUAGGUUUAGUACCAAUAAAGGCCCAUUUUCAAAAUUAUUUACAAAAAUGGGUCGUUUCUAAAAAUAAUAACGGGUAUAGAUCGAAAACCCAAAAACACACUGACGUGGACACAUUUUCAGGGGAUAACCUAGAAAAACGCUUUCACGUCAGCUCUUUUUUUCUUUGUGUCAAGCAAAAGCACGCUGACGUAUACGCACUUUUGGCUGUGUAAUCCUUGCUGGAUUUGCUUUUGUUGAACUUAUCGAUGUUAUUCAGGAUCUGGGUUUGUCUAUUGUUCAUUCUUGAAUCACCAUUGGAAGCACUAUAACACCUUAGAUCUUGCAUGGCAUUGAUGCCAUUCUUACUCUCUAUUUGUUGAGCCUUUUCUUCCUUACUUGGAUCUAAAAUUUUCCAUAGAAUUGUUGUAAGAGAAGAAAAAAAUAAUUGAAAUUUCAUUUUCCGAGCCUAGGGACGAAAUCAUAAUUAAAUAAAAGUAUAGGGGAAAAAUAGUAAUUUUACCUAAGAUGUGAGUUGGAUUGAAUUGAAUAUGAGUUGUAUUAAAUUAAGUUAAAUUUACUCGUAUAGAUCCAGAUAGACCAAAUAUGAAAUUGGAUCGAGGAAACGAAAAGACAUCGGAUUAGUAAAUUACAAUUCACGAACACUUGUCAAGGUAAGUUCGUGUAACUAAAUUGUGUAUAUUUAUAUGUUUGAAUUUAAUGUUGUAUAUGUGUAUUGUAUAAUUUACAUGUAUGAAAAUCGGUCACAUAUCCGAUAAUGCUCGAUAAGUAAUAAGUCCCGAUUGAAUAAAUGAAAUUCGAUGGAUACAGGGUUCCCAAAUUGGUUGUGGUCCUGCAUAUGUUGCGGACACACCAUAGCUCGAAAGAGAGUUCCGUUAUUAGCCAUCUCAAGCUUCCUGCUAUAUGGUUCUUGCGAGCUUCCCAUUAAUAGCUCUUCGGAGCAUCCCGAUUGGUUGUGAUUCUGCAUGUGUUGUAGGCACACCACAGCUCUUAUGAGCGUCCCAAUAUAUGGCUCUUAGUAAGCUUCUCGAUUAAAGUCUCUUUAUGCACUUUCUGAUUAAUGGCUCUCCGGAGCUUCCCGAUAUGGCUUGCUUGAACUUCCCAAUAUAUGGCUAUCUGGAGCUUCCUAAUUAAUGACUUUUCGGAGCUAUCCUUUAUUGGCUCGCAUGAGUUUCUAGAUUAUGGCUCGCAUGAACUUCCCAUUAUGCAGCCCGGAUAAGCUUCCCGUUAUACAACCUGGAUAAGCUUCCCGUUACAUGGCUCAUAUAAGCUUACUGUUAUAUAGCUCGAGAAAGGGCUUCCCGAAUAUGUGCUCUAAUGAGUACCCUCGAAUAUGAAUUGUCGGAUCUCUGAUUCAUACACUUCAUGCGUACUACCCUUAUAUCCAUCGAUAUUUUAAAUGAUUCAAUGGGUAAAGUUCCGAUAUGAGAUGAUAUGAAAUCAAGAUGAAUUACUAUAAGAAAUACUUGAAAUACAAAGAUAUGAUUACAUGUAUGUGGAAAUUGAAUAUUGAUGAGCUCAUUCAUGUUUCUUAGUAUUUAUGUGAAUUACAUGAUUACAUGAUUAACAUGUUUGAUAGAUAUGUCUAGGCAAUUGGCCAAAUUGGUUUGAGCAUGUUUAUUUGCUUACCUUAAAUGUGAAUAUUGGUAAGUUAAAUUCAAUGUUGUAAGAACUUACUAAGCUUAAAUGCUUACUCUAUUUUAUUUCUCAUGUUUAUAGAAUUGGAAGCUUGUAAAGGUUAGAAGUUGGUCGGAGCUACAUCAUACUAUCCAUCGGCCCAAUUCAAUAUAAAUUCUUUAUAAAUAGUAAAUUACUUUUGGUUAUAACAGCAUGUAUAGGUUAAUUAGCCAAUGUUGGCACAUAUAUAUUGGUUGUAACUAGCCAUUUGAAAUGGCUUGUGAUUAAUAUAUUUUGAUGUAUAUAUGUGUACUUUUAUCUAGUUAAUGUGUAUGGUAAAAUGAUUGAAGUUGAAGUGAGGAUGGAUUAUGCAUAUGAAUAUUUGAUCAAAUAGGUAAGUAAGUAAGUAAGUUUGUUUACUUGGUUAUAUGAGGUAUUAUAUAAUGCAUAAGACUUGGAUUUGGCUUGGUUUAAAUGUCUUGGAUUGGCUUGUGAACAUGUUAAAGUGUUAAUGUAGGUGGAAAACAAAUUGGGUGAGAAAUAUGGCUUAGAAAUGGCCUUAUUCGUCCAUACAGGUGUGUGUCUCAGCCAUGUGUAACACACGGCCUAACACACAGGCAUGUGUUUUGGUCGUGUGUCCCCUGCAUCUUUAAAAUUUAAAACAGAAUGCUCAAGAUUUUUCACACGGCCUAGCACACGGGCAUGUGGCUUGGCCGUGUGACCCUAGUUAAAAAGUUACACAAAUACGGACACAGGAUGAGACACGACCGUGUGCCCUAUUUUGAAUGCCCACAUGGCCUGGGACACGAGCGUGUCACAUGGCCGUGUGAACCACAUGGGCGUGUGUCCUCUGCACCUUGGAAAAAUUUAGAGAUUUUGUAAAAAGUUCUCUGAGUAUCUAGUUUAGUCCCAACUUGUUUCUAAUAUAUGUUUUGGGCCUCAAUGGCUCAUAUAAAGAACUUUAUGAAUAAUAUUUGACAUGAACGUUAAAUAAUAUGAAAUGUCUGUAUUUGAUCUGUUUAUUUGAGUAAUGCUCUGUAACCCUAUUCCGGCGAUAGAUACAGGUUAGGGGUAUUACAUGAAUACCUUUAUUCUUUCUAUAGAAGCACUUAGCUUUUAUUUUUGUAACAGCCCGAUUUUGGGCCUAAUCAAAACAGUGGUUUUGGAACCACUAACCCGAGGUAGGAGAAAUUAUUUUUAAUAUUAUUUUAUGAUUGUAGCAUGAUUAUAUGAGUGCAUGAAAAUUUUGGUGAAAUAAUUUUAGCGAUUGCAUGUUUAAUUGCAAAAAAAAUACUAAAUCGCAUAACGUGUGAAAGUUUUGUUCUACUAGCUAAAUGUGUCAAAUAGCUAUGGAACAUAAAAUUAGAGGUCUUUAUUGAGUAAAUAGACCACAAAUAUGUUAAUAGCUGAUCAUAGAGACAAAAGAAUUGUAGGGUCAAAGUUAGGUGAAAUUUGGUGACUAAAUUGACUAGAAUUAAAAUAUAAUAAAUAGAAAAAAAAAGAUAUCACCUUUCAUCUUCCUCCUCUCCACCGAAAAUACCAACAAAAAUAAGGGUUUUGGAGCUUCAAAAUUUCAACUGCUCUUUACCCUUACAAGCAAGUGAUUUUGAUGGUCUUUCUUGAUAAUUUUUGUACUUUUAGGACCUUUGUAACAUAAUCUAGCUAAUAAGGGGACUAUUUUGCAAAAUGAUUGAAAGUCUAGGGUUUCCUAUGAGAGUAUUCAUAUUAUUUUCUGAAUUCUUAUGGAAGAAAAUGAAUCUUGGUUGUUAAAUAAAUAACUUUUGUGAAAGGAUUUUCAUGAAAACACCUAAAAUAGACCAUUUUGUAAAAAUGACAAUCUAUUAUGUGUUGAAUGAUCAAUUUUGCAUAAUAUGGUUGAAUAUGAUUAUGAAUAAUGCAUUAUGAAAUUAAUAUGUUAAAUUCCCAGUUGAACCUAGAAAUAGAUUGGAUAUUCAUGCCAUGACAUUUGAGCGAUAUGUGUGCUAGUGUAAGACCAUGUCUAGGACAUGGCAUCGGCCACAAUAUGAGAGCCAGUGUAAAACCAUGUUUGGAACAUGGCAUCGACAAUGUAAUGAGAGCCAGUGUAAGACCAUGUCUGGGACAUUGCAUCGGCAUUGAUAUGUGCGCUAGUGUAAAACUAUGUCUAGGACAUGUCAUCGGCAUUGUGACGAGAGCUAGUGUAAGACCAUGUUUGGGACAUGGUAUCGGCCUCGACAUGUGAGCUAGUGCAAGACCAUGUUUAGAACUUGGCAUCAGCAAUUCACCCUCUUGUGUAAAGCUUUUCAGAUAUCCUUUAGUAUUCCAAAUGGUUUCACAGGUUAUUUUAAAGCUUAUGACAAUGAUAUGGAAUGAUAUAAUCAUGUUGUGAGUGGUACAGGUUCUUAUUCGAAACUCAUGAGAUAUGAGUCUAGUUAUGUUGCCUUCAUGGUAAGAAUGACAUGAGUAAGUUCUAGCUAUGAAAUGAUUUUGGGACAAUAAUGUAAUCUUUGGCUUAUACUUGUGAUAUUUAAGCAUGUAGCGAUAUUUAACUUUGUUCACUCAAGAAUGUUGUGUUGAUUUAUAAUAUGCAAGGUUGAUGUUGUUACUUAUUUAUAUGUAACUUACUAAGUUUUAUGCUUACUCCUUCUCUUUUCCAUCUUCAUAUAGUUCCACCAAGCUAGUAUUAGGGAUCAAUGGACGUAGGGGGCAUCGAUCACACUAUCACUUGAAGCUCUUGGCAUAGCUAGUUUAAAUGUUUUGAUUGUGGCAUGUAUAGGGACUUGAAUCUUUUGUUUAGUGUCUUAUUAGUUUAGCCACAAGUGUUGGCUCAUAUGAUGGAAGUGAUAUUCAUUUUGUGUAGGCCAUUAAUGUUGGCUAAUAUUGAUUUUUAUUAAAUGCAUUUAAUGAAGAUUUUCACGGAUGUGGUUGUUUGGUUAUGUGUAUCUAUGCUUGGAUUGGUUAUGUUUGAUGUUGUGUAGGUUGGUGCAAAUAUGGGUGGCAAAAACACUUGGUAGAUAACCUUGUUUUUUGUCCACACGGGCAUGUGUCUAGACCGUGUGUGACUCACGGUUUGCCCUAUGGGCGUGUGGUAAGGCCAUGUGUCCCCUGCAUCUAAAAGUUGGCAAAACAGAAUUCCUAGUAGUAACCAUACAGGCAAAGACACGGUCGUGUGUCCCAACUGUGUGGAGGACAUGGCCUAGUACACGGGCGUGUACCAUGGCCGUGUGCCCUUAAGGGGUUGCUGACGUUAAAAACAGAAUGUCAAGGUUUUUGCGCACCGGCUGAGACGCGGGCGUGUCAUGGCCGUGUGGGAGGCACGGGUCAUGGACACGGGCGUGUGCCGUGUGAAAACCCCUGUAGGUUCGAAUCGAAAAAUAAAUUCGCACAGGCUAGGGACACGGGCAUAUCUCGAUAUGUUCAGGCGUGUGAGCCACACGGGCCUUCAACAUGGCCAUGUUAAGAAGACACACGAGCGUGUUGUCCUUCCACACGGGUGUGUGCCACUAUCAGCUUGAAAUUUUAAAAAUUUUCUAGAGUGCAUAGAUUAGUCCCAAAUCAAUUCCAAAGUGUGGUCGGGGCCUCGUAAGCCCAUAGUAGAGACAUUAAGGUAUUGUUAAAAGUUUUAAAUUGGAGCGAAAUUUCAUAACUAGGAAAUGUAUGUUUUUAUGUGUUUAAGUCCGAUAACACCUCGUAUCAUGUUCCGGCGUCGAACUCGGGUAAGGGGUGUUACAAUUUUUCAUUUUUAAUUUUUAUCUGCCUAGAGCUGUGUGAGCUAAUAUGCCUAUUAAAAUGAGUGGAUUUUUGUGGUUUAGAGCCUUGUAUGUGGAAUUAGGUUAAAUUGUAGUUUUAGUCCUUUUAUUAUGUCAAAAUUUGAGAUUUUAAUAUAUAUUUUUUAAUUUUGUAUGAUAUUAUUAGUAAGUCCUAGUUGAUAUCGUCGUUGUUUACUAUUGCUUUUUUAUAAAGUUAUCUUAAGCAUUUCAUUAAAAUAUAAUUUUAUCAUUGCUUAAAAAUAAUUAACUAACUUUUUAAGAGCUUUUGGUUGUGCGGCUGAAUAAAAAAAAUCAUGUGUCUAAUUAUGAAAAUUUUCCCUUUAUUACGUUUAAAAAAAAAACAAAAUCCAUCUCGUCAAAAUAAUUUUUUCAGAACACAUCAUGUUAAAUUUAUUUUUUUAAAACCCAUAUUGUCAAAAUUAUUUUUCCAGAACAAUAUUUAACAAUUAAAAAAAAUUAAACCCUAAACAAUUAAAAACAUAAUACCCCAAUUUAAAUUUUUCUAACCCUAAUCAAACCUAAAAUUCCUAAACAUAGGCCCUAAUUUGCAAAUAACCCAUUGGGGAUUACAAGGCCAAAAGCGUGUCAACGUCAGUGUUUUUUCGUUGACACAUGGAAAAAGCGCACUGACGUGGAAGCGUUUUUUCUGGGUUAUUGCCUAAAAAUGUGUCCACAUCAAUGCAUUUUUGAGUUUUCGCUCCAUACCCGUUAUUGUUUUUAGAAACGGCCCAUUUUCAUAAAUAAUUUCGAAAAUAGGCCUUUAUUGGUACUAAACCCCUUGUACUAACCAUUAAUCUAAUUAAUUUAAAUUCAUCAAAUCAAAAUUUAAUAUAAAAAUUAUUAUUGACCGCAUAAUUUAAAUACUAAUUUUACGAAUUUAUUAGUUAAAUUUGUAAUCUCAAAACUAUUAAAAAAUGAGGUGUUACAAUGAGUUUAUUUUAAAUUUGAGUAGUUGCGUGAAAACCCCCUAUUUAAAAAGAUUCGGAAAUUUUUUACCGUUAUUUGAUAUUUUGAAAUACUUUUCCCUUAUUCAAGCAACCUUAAAAAAGUUAGUCCAUUGUUUAAGCAUUUAGCCAAAUUAGGUUUUUUAAAGGAUAAUUAUAUUAAUUUAAAGGAUGUCAGACUCCUAAGGAUCUCAACUUCCAUUUGCAUUUAUUAGGGAUUAACUCCCGAUAAAAAUUAAAUGCAAAUACAUUGAUGACCCCUACUCAUGUGUGUCAAGGUAGUUCAAUCACUCAAUAAUAAUUACUUUGAUUCGAAGAUGAAAACUUGACCAUGCAAUAACAUUAAGGUAACGAUUGAUUACUCGAAACUUAAAAUUAAACUAUAUUCUGUAAUAGAAUUACGAGAAUAUAAGAUUAUGGGUGAAAUAAUAUAUUAUUUUGUUUGAUUUAUUUGAUUGAAAUGUAAGAUUUAAGUGUUUGAUUAACAGAAUGUAAAAUUAUCUAAAAGUAAAUUAUAUAUAUUAUAUUAUAUAUAUAGACUUGUUCAUGGGUCAGGCUACUCGUCCAGGCUUAAGGCCCGAUUGAAAUUUGAGAGGAUUUGAGUAAAAAUAUUAUAUCCGAAAAAUGGACUUAAGCAAAAAAAAUUAGGCCCAUUUGAAUAUGGGUUGAGUUUGAGUUUGAACAUUCAAGGCCUAAGCCCGCCUGACUAGACCCAUUUUAAGUUUAUAAUACUUUAUAUUAUGUUAUUUUUAUAUAUUAUGUAAUUUAGAACACAUUAAAAAAAUAAACCUAUACUAAAUAUAUAAUACAACUCUAACGUAAACAUUAAAAUAAUGUUAAGUCGACUAUAUAAAAAAUUUAAUAAAUAAAAAUGUAUAAAAUUAUUAAAUAUUAAAAUAAUAUAAUAUAAAUAUUUUUGAAAAAAUUAAAAAAUAAUAUGGGCGACCUAAAAUAGGUUUGGGUUAGUCUUUUAUAAAUAUAGACAAAUUUAAACAAAAUUUUAAGUUUAGAUUUCGAGUAAGACUGAAUUUGAAUAAACAUAAAAUAUAUUAAUAUUAUGAUUAGACUCAGCCCAUAAGGUAUAUGAAUAUUAAAAUUCCAUUCAACCAAAAUGCAAUGACAACUUGGAAAGUGUUUAUUUGGUAAGAGUAUGCCCCAAUGAUGUGCAAAAUUUUGAUGAAUCCCAACAAGUGUACCAUAAUUGAACUGUUCUUGAAAUUGGAAUUAUUUUGUACUAAUAAGAGGAGGAAAAAACCACACCUUUUAAUAGCUUUGUACAUAUAUCUAAUUUAAAUUACCAAAAAAUGUAUUAACAUAAUUCUAAAAUAAAAUUUGAAUAAUUGGAAGACAUGCUAUCCUCCAUUUUAGGUGUAACACUUUUUAUUCAUAUCUGUUGUCGAAAUAGGGUACGAGGUAUUUCCAGAGUUUACUGAGCAUUUUUAGAUAAUUCUAAAUCAUUUAUUAUUCAUAUUCUGAAAAUAAUCAUAAUGUCCCUCUAUUGGGCCCUUAAAGCCCAAAACAUAUAUUUAAACAUUCAAUUCACAUUCAUGUCACAUAAAUGUAUAAUUUAAACAUUCAAUAACUCAAUUCAAGUUGCACGAACUUACUUCGUUGCACGAACUUACUUCGUUGCUUAUUCGUAUUUAUAGUUUUACUAAUCCGAAAACUUUUUCUUUUUCACGUUCAAGUCUCAUAUUUGAGCCACCCGGAUCUUUAUAAAUAAUUUUGAUCAUCAUUUUUAUUUAUUUCAUAUUCUAAUACAUUCAAUUAAUCUCUAGGCAAAAUUACCAUUUUACCCCUAAACUUUUGAUUAAUGACGAUUUCAUCCUUAGACAAAGAAAAAUAAAGUUCUUGUAAUUAAAUCCUUGUUUUGAACCUAAUUAUUCUUAUAUAUAUUGAUAAAAACCCAUAAAUUUUAUAAAAUAACAAAAUUUUCCAUAAUUUCAACACUUUUUAAAUUAAUCCCUAAAACAUGUUUUCACCCGAUCUUGAUCUAAAUUAAUAAUUUCAUUCAAUUUUAUAAUUUAAAUAAUAAAACAAUUCAUUUCCUUCAUUUUGGUCAUUUUUGACAUUUUUACAAAAUUGCCCCUACAGUUUUUCUUUUAUUCAAUUUAGUCCCUGAGUCUAAAACAUACAAAUUAUCCAUUUUAAAUGUAAACCUAUUAAGGGUGGCAACAAACAAUAGUAUGUAUGUUACUCGGAUGAAAUACUUCUUUAAAUUUUUCAUCCCAUUUGUUUCUGUUCGUUUGGUUAUAACUCCUGAGUCCUUGAAUCUCAAACUUCCUUCAUACUUCAUCCGAAAUUAUUACCUUGUUACUCUAACUUCAACAAGAGCUUCAUAUUUCAUCCGGAAUAAUUACUUUGUUGCUCUAGCUUUAAUAAAAGCUUCAUAUUUCAUCCGAAAAAAUUACUUUGCUGCUCUAGCUUCAACAAGAGCUUCAUAUUUUAUCCGGAAAACUUAGUUUUGUUUUUCUUCUUGUGUGAAAAACCCAACAAAACCCUUGCUAACUGAAAAUUCAUAUAUUUAUUUUCCUCCUCCUCCUCUCCAUUCCACAUCCUUAAUUUAUAUAAUAUGCUUAUAAGUAACAUUAUCAAUAAUUUCACUAUUUACUUAUAUGUAUAUUCAAAGCUGUCCAUUUAAGUCAUAGUCACUAAAUUAUUUAUAUCUUGAGUUAAAAAACUUCAAAUUAAGAUCCGUAAAUUUUACCUGAAACUAGACUCAAUUUCUUCUUACCAUAAAAUUUUAAGAAUUUUUUCUUUAGCCAAUUAGUACAGUUUAUUAAUUAAAGUCUCCCUUGUUUUGCUAUUUGACAGUUCUGACCACUCUUCACAAAAGUUUAAUUAUCUCUUUAAACAGAAUUCAAAUGAUGUUAUCAUUUAUUUCUUAUAAAAAUAGACUCAUUUAUGAAUCUAACCAUAUAAAUUAUGUCCCAAAAUUAUUUUUAUAUAAUUUUUAAUGAUUUUUCCAAGUCAGAACAGGGGAUCUCGAAAUCAUUCUGAACCAGUCUCACAAAAAUACAAAUAUCUUAGAAUACAGAAUUCCUUUACUUUCUAUAUUUCUUUUAUAUGACAAUAUACUAAAUAAGAUUUAAUUCCGUAUCUCACUCAGCUUCUAAUUCAAUUUCUACCAUUUUUGGUGAUUUUUCAAAGUUAGCCUAUUGCUGUUGUCCAAAACUACUUUAAUGCAACAUAUUGAUUACCAAGUUUAUAACACUCUUAUUUCCAUUCUCUACCAUAUUUCCCAUUAUUUUCUCUCAUUUCCCUUCACUAAUAUAUCAAGAACAUGGAUCCUUAUAUAAUAAAACUCUACCUUAACAUCAUUUUCAUGCUUUUGAUAUUACCUUACAUGAGAAACUCUACUUAAAAUAUAUUGAAAUCUUAAAAUUCUUACCUUGUUUCAUUGACUUCAAUCUUUAACUUGAUUUUCUCUCUCCUCCAGCUUCUAUUUCUUGAAUCUAACUUAAUAUUCUAGCUCCCCAUAGUCUCCUUGUGAUCUUUCUCUCUUGAUGUCUAUGGAAAUUCUUUUGAUUUUUAGGUGAAAAUGGUGGAUUUUUGGUGAAAGGACCAAAUUGUAAAGAAAGCAAAACUUUCUUUCUUUCCCUCUUCUUCUCACAUUGGUUUGCAUGGAAAAAAUGAUGAAAAUUCUUCAUCUUUCCUUCUUUAAUACUUAAUAAAUAAUAAUAAUAAAAUAAUAAAAUAUCUUAUUAAAAUAUUAAUAAAAUAAUAUUUAUCUAAUUAAUAAUUAUAAAAUAUCAUCAACAUCAUCAUCACUUUCUAGAUUUCUCUCUCUUCCAAUUGACCAUUUUUCCCUUUGUGAUCUUUUAAAAUUCCAUCAAUGAAUCAUCACAUAAUUUGGUAAAAUUAUGAUUUAGUCCCUCAUAAUUCUUUUCCUAUUCAAUUUAGUCCUAAUUCAUCCAUUUUCCUUAGUUUCUAAUCAUUCCACCCUUAAAAUAUUUACACUAUUAGUCCUUCAAAUUUUUCAUAUUUACACUUUAGCCCUUCAAAUUUUGAGUAUUUAUUCUUGUGCAACAAAACUUUUCUCACUUUUACAAUUUAGUCCUUUUUUGAAUUAAUAUAUCAUAAUAUACUUCCUAAUGUUGGCAUAACUCAGAAUUUUUUUUUCUUUUUUUGUCACUUUAUUUUCUUAUUUUACUAUAUCAAGAAUAGUAUUUUACUGUAAAAAUUUUCAAGAUAUUACAUUAGGCAUCCGCCCAGAGUUUGCAUAAAAUUUGAAAAAAAUUCAGGCAUUGAAUUUUCAAACUUCCUUAUUAUUGAUUUAAAAGUUUGUGGUAAUUUUGUCAUAAAAUUCAAAUUUUGCUUGAAAUCUCAUAUUACUUAAGAAAUAGGUCAUAAUGAGAUUAUAUCCUAUAUUAUAAGAUGACCGUAAUGUAAGAUUAUGAUAUGGUCGGAAUGUUAAAAUCCAAAUAUUAUAAUCUCAUUCUGAAAUAUAACAUUACGGGUUAUAAUGAGAUAAAAAAACAUAUUCUAAAAAAUAACUAGACGACAUAAUGACAUUAAAGGAACUCGAUACCCAUAAAUAUCAAAGCACCCCUUAAAAACACAUUCCAGGAAAUAGCUUUUAUAUAUACCUAAUAUAAUAUUAAACGACUACAAUAUCAAAAGUAAAAAAAUAUAUAUUAAAGAACUACAAUAUCAUAACUAGUGUUAAUGAGAUAAAUAAAUAAAUAAAAAUAUUUUUUAAUUAAUAAUUUUUAUGGUUGUUUGUGUAACGCCCCAAUUUUCAGGAAUUCUGUGAAUGUUGGCAUAGGUUUAAUUAUGUUAGUGGGCCUCUAGAAGGCCCAAGUUUAAGAUAGAACCCGACAAUUUUAGUUAAUUUUUGUUCCAUAAGAAAAAGGGGGUGAAAUUAUGAAAUAGAACCUAUAUGAAAAUGUUUGAAAAUGCUAUAGGAUAAAUUGAAGUGGCCAAAUAAAUAGGAGUGCAAAAUAGGAGGAUUUGCAUGACAAACCUCCCAUUUUACAUGAAGUGGCCAGCCAUCAUGUUGUUGUAGACAAUAUGAGCACUUGAUAUCCAUAAUUCAUGGUACAAAUUGAUAAUGGGUUAGGUAAAUGUUCCAUGAUAAUGGAUUAGGUAAAUAUUUCAUGAUAAUGGGUUAGGUAAAUGUUCCAUGAUAAUGUGUUAAGUAAAUGUUCCAUGAUAGGCAUUUCAUGUCUUUUGUAUUAAAGAAUUAAAUGGAUGAAAUAUGAAAUUUUAUUAAAAAAAAAAGGGUGAAAAGAACAAAGUUUUGUCCAUCUUUGUUCAUCAUAGCCUAAAGUUAGAGAAGAGAAAGGAGAGGAGAAAGCUCUUGAAUGUUCGGUCACUUGGGGAAGAAAAUUGAAGGUAAGUUUUUGGUACCUUGCUUCUAUUUUGAGGUUCAUGAGUUCUUCUUGAUUCUACCUUAACUCUUGAAGCAUAUUUUAGUUUUUAGUUGUGUUGUGAGUAUUUAGUCAUGAAUUAAAAUGAAAGAAAUGGUUGUUGUUUCAUGUUCUUUUGAUGAAAAAUGGAAGAUAGGUGAAGUUGAGCCAAACAAAUGAGCAUGCAUGUGCCUUAGAUGCUAAGGGGGAAAAUCGGCUAACAUGUUGUGCUUUAAAAUGAUGAAAUGGAGAUUAUACUUAAGUAAAAUCAUAGAUAUGUGAUGAUUGAUUGGUGAUAUACAUGUUUAAAUAACAAGCAUGCAAGUUAGGUGUGAAAGAGUGAUUUGGUAAUAAAUCUGCUUGGGACAGCAGCAGUAACGUGACUUUGGAAAAUCACCAUAAAUUGUGGGAGAUGAGUUAGAAGCUGCAUAAAUUAUGUAAUUAAAGCUUAAUGAGUCUAGUUUCAAAUGGAAUAAACAAGAACAUAUUUUGAAUUCUGUACAAUGAGAAAUUUGAUUCGUAAUGAAGAGUGGUCAGAUUAGUCAAACAGUGAAACAUGGGAAACUUUGAGAAAAAUCUGGUAUUGAUUGGCUAAACCAAAAAUUCUGAAAAUUUUAUGGAUAGAAGAUAUAUGAGUCUAUUUUCAAGGAAAAUUAACGGAACUUGAUUUGGAGUUUUGUAGCUCCAGUUAUAAAUGAUUUAGUGACUGUUGCUCAGGAAGACAGCUUGCAGUGAAAUUAUGAUUAUGUGGUAAACAUUGACAAAAAUUUGUUAAUGAGUUACUUAUUGUUUUCAUAUAAGCUUACUAUGAUCUGUAGGUGUGGUUGGCCGAAUAUUGUAAGGGUUUAAUACGUAGUUUUUAUUUGAAUAGUUAGAUUAACGUGUUAGUAAUCCAAUUGUAGGAGGUUCGUGUGUGGAUUUCGUCAGCAUAUCGUCGCAAACAAGUGUGUAACUAACACUCUCUUUCUUAGUCUAGAUCGGCAAAAAUCGAAAAGCCGAAAUGCCAAAAACCGGUAUUUUGUAGAUUUGCGAGUGUGCGAAUGCUCGUGAGGUAAAUCGAUUAAUGUUUUAGGUAAGCUGCAAUGUUUGAACUGCAAAGUGCAUGAUUUAUGUGCCCUCGAUAUUUUUGGGCUUAAUGGGCCAAAAUUGGAAUGAUGGGCCAAUGGGCCCAAUUCGGUAAGAACCCUCGGUAGUGAUUCUGUUAGUACGUGAAAGGUAGGAAUAUGCAUGAAAAACCCUAAAAUAGAUAAAUUACUGAAAUACCUUUAAAAGUGGAAAAUUUACAGUUUUACCCCUAGGUUAUAAAUUACCGAAAUACCCCUAGGGUUAAAUUGACCUAAAUGCAUGUUUGACUGUUGUUAUUUACUGCAUGCCAUGUUGUUAUUAUCUGAUGCAUGGGACUGGGAUAUUGACGGAGGAAGUACUGAAAGUGGCUUGUCCACGUACUGGAGGCUUUGCCUCAAUUUACUGUUAACUGAGCAGCAAGGCUGCAACUGUGGAGUGCUGGGCUGGGUGGGUUGAGCUAUUCCCCACAUGGAGUGUAUGGCUGGUACGGGUGGAGUGUAGUGGUUGGUGGGUUGAAUAGUCUCCCCAAAUGGGCUUGCAUAUGUUUACUGAUGUUGCAUGUAUUUUGAAAUGGGCCUAUGGGCCAUAAUGUUAUCUGAAUAAGGGGCUAAGGCCCAGUUUAUUGUAAUCUGAAAAGGGUCUGGCCCAGUACCACUGUUACCUGAAUGGGCUUAGGCCCAAUAGGCUUGAGCUGACUUGGGCUUUGAAUGGGUUUUCCUUACACACUGAGUUUCCCCAGACUCACCCCUUUUAUUUUCAUCCACGCAGGAAACCCCCAACCAUAGUGGGCUUGGAGCUAUGAGGGAAUUCGAAGUGGCCACCCGUUCUGAAAGUUUGAUUUUCUUCUGGUGAAUUGGACAUCCUUUUAUUUAUGUUUGAAGUUUUGGGUUUUUAAAUGCAAUAAGGCCGCUUAAUUAUUUUUGAUGGUUUUAAUAUGUAUUACUAAGAUAGGUAUUAUUUAUUUUAACUGUUGAAAUUGGAUAGCUUUAGGGCGCGUUUUCAAAAACAACAAUUGAUUUCAAAAUAACACGACAACAAAUAAAGCUUCCGUAAUGAAAGUAUUUUCCAAAAUUAAUCAGUUUUCCUAAAAAUGACUUAAUCAAAUCGGUUUCCUAGAAAUAUCCAUGACGUUAAGGUGUGGCAAUGGCGGUAUGCAUGUCUAGGAUUGGAUCCGAAGGGAGCUUGGUACUUAAGCAGUCCGAUGGACUCACCGCCUCUUUUCCGGUUUCCUACCUGGUGCACAGUUUCCAUUCACUUUAACCUAUAUGAAAUUAUCUUUUAAAACACUAAGUAAGUUUUUCUGGACCAAUAAUAUAAAAUGUUUUGAACGCAUGUCGGAUCCGGUCAUAACGUCUGGGCCGGGUUUGGGGUGUUACAGUUUGACUUUUUAAAAUAAUUUUAUUAAUUUUUAAUUGAUGUGGCGUGAGACAAUAAUGACAUGCCAGUAAAUUGAUGCAUAUAAGGUGUCAUGUCAGCAAACACGAAUAAAUCCAAACAUUAACAAUCACACUAGCAAGGCCAUUAGGAUUUGAUUGUCAAUCAUUAAAUUUAACGGUCAAAAGGAUUAAAUGGUCAAUUUUAUGGGUUAAAGAGCUCAAUUGGAUUUAAAAGAUUGAGAAGAGCUUAGUUGAUUUUUUUUUAAAUACUUCGAGAGCUUAUGGUACGUUUAUACCUUUAAUCUAUAUUAUUAUAUAAGGUUAGUGUUACAAGUUAAUUAAACACCAUUUUAAUUAACAAAUAACUAAAAAUCCAUUAUACUUACAGACUAACAAAUAACAUAAAAAUAUUUUUUUAUAAUAAUAUUUGAGUCUAAAAUACUAUUACCUCAAAAACUUUAAUUUAACCAUUUUAAAAUUUCAUUUGAAUUUUAUAUAAGUGAAAAUAUAUGGUUCACAUUAAAUGUUGUUUACAUCAUUUUCACAAGGUACCAUAGUAUACUGUUAUUCUUUUUAAAAACAAAUUUUCAAAAAAUUGUUACUUUUUUUAAAUGAUUUUACGUAAAAUGUUUUCCAUUGUUUAAUAAAUUUAUUAUUUUUAAAUGUUGUUUUUAAUGAAAUAAAUCAAACAUUAAUAUAUUGGGAAAGGAUUGUAUGAAACAGUGAUGCCACGUCAUCUGUAUCACUUUCCAAUAGUUUUAUGCCACAUCAGUAUUAAAAUCCUGAAUUUUAAGAUUUUAAUUUGGAUUUGAUUUUUUUCAGGAUAAAAUCCUGAAAUUCAGGAUAAGAAUACUGAUGUGGCAUUAAACUAUUGGAAAGGGAUACAGAUGACGUGGCGUCACUGUUUCAUACAAUCCUUUCUCUAAUAUAUUUGUUACAAAAAAAUUAUAGAAAUAUUUCCUUUUAACAAUCAAAAUUUAUUUUAUAAAAAGAUAAUAUUUUAUAAUAAUUAAUGUUGUAUAUAAACUUAAUAAUAAAUAAUGUCUAAUUAAAACUUAAUUUAAAUUACAUAUAUUACGUAUAUGAGAGUAAAUAGUGACACAUUAGACUUAAAAGAAUAAAUGAAACUAAGCAUGAUUUAAACAAAUACUCAUAUUUGUAUAAUUAAAAUAUUCAUAUUUUACUAUACAACAUUUAUUAUUAAAUAUUUAUAAAUUGUAAUAUAUAUUUAUUAUUAGAAUAUUAAUAUAUAUUUUUUAAUAAUAUAUUAAGAAUAUUAUUUAAAAUAUAAAAUUAUUAUUGUUAAAUUUUAUUAUUAAAAUAAAAUUUUAAUUUAUUAUAUUAUUAAAUAUAAAUAAUUAAAUAUGAAUGUUUAAUAACAUUGAACAUUAUAAUAUUUGAUUUUAAUAUUUUAAUAUUUUUAAAUAUUAAAAGUUUUAAUAAUACUAUUAAGGUUUAUUCAAGUUAUUUUUUAUAUAAAAAUAAAAAUACUCAUAAAAGAGUUAUCUUUUAAAAAAUGAUUUACACUUUUCAAUAUAGUAAGUUAAUUUAUAAGAAAAUAGACUUAUUAUUUUUCGUUGACAUGUAAAAGGAGGUCUUUUCUAGAAUAUGACUUAAUGCUUUUUAAGAUGGCAAGUUAAUUUAUAGGAAAAACAAUUUAUUUUUCGUUGGAGUGUAAGUCACUUUUAGUUGAUAAAUUAAUUUUCAUAAAAUAAAUAGAAUGAAAAUUUAAUAUUUAUAAAACUAAGCUCGUGAUCAAAUCGAUCAAAUCACCGCUUCCCGAUUUGACUAAUCUAACGACCAAUAAAUAAGUAAAUAAAUAAAUUAGUCUCCCAUUUCUCAUUUGUUUCAACUUUUUAUUUAUUCUAGUAAAACCAUUCAUAAUAAAUGUUGAACAACUCUUCUUUUAAUAGACAACCCAUCUCUUUUGACUCUUAUUGAUUUAUAUUAUAAUGAUAAAGGCAUUUUGCUGGAAUUGAUGCUAAUUAAUUAAAUUUCAUUCGAAAUUUUAAUCUAAUAAUAAAUGUAGUGCAACUCUCUAAUUUUUUUUUUAUUUUAUUCUCUAUUUCUCUUCUUGUUCUCAUCUAUUUUGACCAUUGAUUUUCCUUUUCUAUUUGUUUCUUCCUCUUCUUCUUUGGUUCCUUGAUUGUUGGAUUUUUUUUUUCUAUUUUUUUCUUCUCUUGUUUCCUUUGUUUACUACGUACCGUAAUCAGUAAAUUAAACUCAAAAACACUUUAUUUUUCUUCUCACAUAUUCAAUACUUCUUUUCUACUGAUCUUGUAUUAUUUUAUUCAAAUCUCUCACAAGUCACAUUGUCUAAUGCUUGAAGAAAAAGAACUAAACUGAUUUUAGUGGAAGGAAUAUAAUCAAUAUUAUAACAUAUAAGUUUUUUCACUCGGUCUAACCAAUUUUUAACCUGGUUUAACUUGUUUGUUUGAUUUUUGGUUUUAUGAGGAUGAUCGAACUGUUAAAACUAAUUUAACCAACCAAUUCAAUCCGAUUUCAAAAACAUUGAGAAAAAUGUUUCGUGCCAGUGCCAUUGCCCCUUGAACCAGAGCAUAAUUAAUAACCUUUUGUAACUUCUGGCUAAUUACAAGAAGAUUUCUAUUCAAGUAACGAAGGCUUAUGAAAUAGUUUCACUUGAUUUAUUAAUGAAAACUUUUAUUUAUAGGUUUAAGAUAGACAAUUAUGUUUAAAAUAAAAAUACGAUAAAAUAAUAAUUUUAAACAAUUCAAAAUUAGAAUAUGAAAUUGUAAAAGCCCAUUUUUGCCCGGGCCCACUAAACAAAAAAUAAACUAAAUAAAAAUUAAUUGAAUGGUCCAAUUACAAGUCCAUUUACAAGGCCCAAAUACUCUACAGCCCAAAAACCAAAAAAUCAAGGCAGAAACCCUAGCCUCUGCUUAGCGCCGCAGCCACCAGCAGCUACUGUACGUCCACCACGUGCGCCUCCGUACGCCUCACGCUAGGUGCCAACACACGCUCCGUACCUGCGAAAAAAAACAAGCAAACAGCAGCAACAAUAGCCAAUACGAAAGCAAAAAGAAAAAUUGUAUUUUUAUUUGAACAUUCGGCUAUAAAGCCAGGGGGAAUCGAUUGUAAUUUUUUUUUUUGGGAGGCACACUGGAUAUCAAAAGAAAUCAAGACGAAAGUUAUUGGAAGGUGAUUUCCAAAUUUGUUUUUUUUUUCGUUUCUUGUGAUUAGCUUACAAUUUAGGCAUGAAUACAUGAAGUGGAUACUCGAAUCGACGCCGAUGAGAGCCCGAACAUCUCAAAAAUAUAUAGAUGUGGGCGAGGGUCGAAUGGUAUCGAGAUUUUGUUUAAAUCUUCAAAGUUUGUUUCGUUUUUUAAAAGAAUAUCAUAAGAUUCGAGGUUUUUUUUUUAAAUAAAGAAAAAAAGGAGCAAAAUUACCAGAUCACCGUAGUCACGGCCUCGGUUGGCGAAAUCUGGCCGUUGUUCACUCCGUCGACCAUCGAAUGGAUGGUGGUUUGGCGGCUGCAUGCUGAACUAACCCUAACAGAGCAGGUUAAGGGGUUCUUUCUUUUUUUUUUUUUAAAAAAAAGGCUUAAAGAUUAUUAGUGUUUUGAAAGGCAAAUAAAUGGAAAAGGGAGUUUUAAUAUCAGGUUUAGAAAAUGGUGCCAUUCCAAGGGGUAAAGACCCCGCGUGUUGACCCGUUUAGCAGGCCAGAUUCAUGUGCCUUGACUUAAAUUGGGAGAUUUCCACACAUGACCCCUCUCAUUCACUCUAAUGUUGAAUUAGGCCCUAUGUGUACUUUAGUUAUUUUUAAAUGGCAUCUAGAAUUAAGAAAUCACAUCAAUUUAGCCCGCGUUUAAGCCUUGCGUUUUGGGACCAGGAUUAUUUCCAACUUUAGUUCUUUAGAAUUUACGCGUAUUGUGUGUUAACCCUCC
RNAcentral lists this long non-coding RNA (58325 nucleotides) under Gossypium barbadense (sea-island cotton). Its description in RNAcentral is "long non-coding RNA (GBAR_LNC005040)". The record is from RNAcentral. Lineage: Eukaryota; Viridiplantae; Streptophyta; Magnoliopsida; Malvales; Malvaceae.